AGGGUGACCAGGGUUGUGACCAUAAUGUGGUGGCUUCUCUCCCUUAGGUGGUUUGCCAACUGGGGUUGGUGGCUUGUAUGAGUCUUCAGCAUUCUCAGCAGGAGGGUGACCAGGGUUGUGACCAUAAUGUGGUGGCUUCUCUCCCUUAGGUGGUUUGCCAACUGGGGUUGGUGGCUUGUGUUCUGGGAGUGGCUUCUCCCCCUUGGGAGGUUUUUCCAAUGGGGUUGGUUUGUGUUCAGGAGGUGGCUUCUCCACUGGAGGCUUGUGUUCAGGAGGUGGCUUCUCCACCGGAGGCUUGUGUUCAGGUGGUGGCUUCUCCACCGGAGGCUUAUGCUCUGGUGGUGGCUUCUCGAAUGGGGGAUGCUUAGGAUAAUCAGCAAGUGAGGGGGCGGUGAGAACCACCAGGCCAAGCAACACCACUAGCAAAUAUGUAGGAGACAUCUUUGGGUUUGGGCUCAGAUGGUGCAAAACUAGGAGAAUUGGCUAGCCUUUUAUAGCGGAUCGUACCCAAUAAUGAAAUGACACGUGUCAUUAUGACCCAUGUGUAAUGGGGUCGAUUUGGGUCCUACAGUGUUGAAAACUUCGACAUCCACUUUUGGCCUUUUGCUUUCUCUACAGCCGCCUUGCUUUUUCCCUCUUUCCUUUUGUUUUCCUCCUGCCCCAUUCUAUCAACUAAACACAAUUAUGUAGUUGUUUAAUUCUUAAAUGAGAUAUUAUCCGUCAAUCGUAUUAUAUUUUAUCAAGAGAGAACGGAGUGCAAUGUGGCUGUAAUUUUAUCGUUUAGUUUUAUCUCUUGGACCACUGCAUUUUUGUUAAGAGGUGCAAUAAUACACGUCUUUAUCUGCCAUUCAAUAUUUACAGUAAAGAGAGGGCACAAAACUCUUCACUUCGCACCAUAAUUAUUUUGUUUUCUGGACACCCCGGGGCCCUUUGGUUGGUUUGGGGGUCAGAAAGUGAACAUCAUAGGGGGUUUUUCCCUUAUGUGCAUUUGUAUCUGAUGGCUUUAACUCGCCUUGUUACUACAAAGAAACUGUCACAGAUAGGAACUUAUUCCAGGCUGAGUAUCUCCUCAUAGACCCUAUAAAAGAAGACAAGUCAUAAUGAACAUCUAACCUUUGUUCAAUUUGAUUCAAUGCCCCCAUUGUGUCCAUCUCACAAAUCUGAAUUAUUAUAUCCAUUGAAUACAUAAAUUAAUGAAGAAAAUAUGAAACCCAAGAUACAUCUCUGCACAACCUCAACCCUGGUUGCUAUGUUUCCCUUCUAUUCACAUGAUUUGAUGCUAAUUGCCAAACUUGCAACAAGCCCUGAGUUUGACACCUAGUAUCGAUGGGCGAAUUUAAAGUCUCCUCCAAACAUAUAUUCCACAGCUUGAAGCUCACAGAAGAUGUUACAGGCAGGGAAAAACCUUCAGAGUUCGCUACCAAAGAUAAUUAUUAAGGAGAUAUCACAAAGAGAAUUCCAAGGGGUCUGAAUCAAAGACAAAUUGGUCGUUCGUGGGGGUUCUUACUUUCUUUUGGGUAUAACUCACUGAGGGCACUGUCUUUGUUAUUUGCAUUUCACAUUUAGAGUUCUGUUCUGGAAACAUAUAAAAGGAGCAUCAUUUUGUUCUUGGGUAACCCAUAGUCGUGAGUGGGUCCAUUUGCAUGCUACUUAGUUGAAAAGUUGGACCAUUUGCUCCGACGCCUACCUCCCGGAUUCCAUGCUCGGAUAAAACAAGAAUAAAAAAAAUAUUUAUAAUUUACAAAUGGGGGAAAGAAAAAAAUGUCAACAACAAACCAGGAAAAAAGAGUAGUAAAAUUCAUGUCACAUGCUAGUGAGAGAAGGGGUUGUUACACUCACUCGAAGUUCUUUCCAAAAUAUCGCAUGGUAUUUUAUUUUAUGUGUCAGCGCAGUUGUGAAUGGAACGUGCAAAAGUCCAAAUUGGCGUUUUUCCUUUUCCCGUGUAGGAUGGCGACCUUUAAUAAAUAUUUAAAACAAAAAACGAAAAAAAGGAGGGAAAAGGGAUCAGAAAAGAUAAAACAAUGUGUACAAGAGCUCAAUUAGUUUGCAAAUUACUGUUUGGAUUUUGAUAGUAUUUUAUUUGUCCAUCUAUAUUUGAUGGAAAAGAGAAUUUAAGAUAUUUCUGAAACAAAAGCAUUAGUGUAAAACUAAAUUAAGGUAUAAUUAAGUUAGUUCAAUGCAUUAAUUUAAGAAACUUGAUCUAUCCAAAGUACAAAAUUAGAUGAAAUCCAUUUCAAUGGUUAAAAUGAUCAAAAUCAAACUUUUUCUAAGUAUUUUUUAAAAGCAUCAAUAUUAAAAGACAAUUUUAUAUUUAGUCGGAGUUUGGACAAAACCAAAAAGCACACAAAAUCCAAGCGACCAUCUCUAGCUUGGAUAGUCACUUGAUCCCACCUAGAGAUGUGCAUGAGUAAAAGGAUUUGAAAAUGGAAAUUGACUAAAUAUUUAGUUGAUCAAUUAAAUUUGCAAUGUCAUAUGCAAUCCUAAUAGCUAGUCAUCUAAUCAAUUAGGUAGUCAAUCAAGUGUUUGUAAUGACUAUUUUGUACAAAAAACCACAUGUAUAGUUAAAUAUAAUGCAUUUCAUUUAUAAAUCUUCUAAUUCUUGAAUAACGAUCCUAUCAUCCUUUGAAAAUUUUUAUUACACCUUUUUUACUUUUGUUCUAAAACUUACAUAUCACCCUUAAUUGUACCAUGAGAACCUAGCUAUUUUUUUUUUUUUUGUAAUUCAUCAAAGUUAGCUUUUGUAUUCAUUGUUGUAUUAUUUUUAGUAUAACUUAGAAAGCUAGUGUUUUCAAGUGAGUAAAAUUAACUUGUAAAUAUUGUAAAGAUUCAUUGAUAUGUAUCUUAAACUAAGUGUACAAAUUAAAACAUUUGCUAGUAGAUUUUCUCAAAAUUUAGAAUAGAGCUUGAGGCUAUUGAAAUAGGUGGGGUUACACCAAACCACAUCACAUCGUUGUUUGCACCUUUUUUCACUCUCUUUUACUUAGUUUCUCUAUAUUUGUUGUCUAGUAAUAUCCUAUAGGCUUGAUGGGUUAGGGAGCAUCCCUUUGUGAAAAAAUUUCAUUCAAUUCUUAGUUGUAUUACGCAUAUAUAAAAUGCCUCAUUGUUUUAAUGGUAUUCAGUCGUGGCAUCACAGAUAUGGGCAUCUAAAUUUUAAAAGUUUGAAACUUUUGUAAAGCAUGUUGAUAAAAUCCAUGAGAGUUGUGUACUUGGGAAGCAACAUCGAGGUGACUUUAUUUUUUUUUCCUUUUAUAAUGCCACACCUAAGUCCGGUUUCUAAAUGCUAAAGUGAAAGGGUAGGUAUGGACCAUUGAAAUGUGAUCACAACUUUUGGCCUUUUCCUUUCUCUGCAGCCAUGUUGUCUCUUUUUUCUUUUGCAUGAUUUUCUUACCAAAACAGAAUCAUAGACUUGUUUAGUCUCUAAGCUACUAUAUUAUAUCUCGGUGGACUUUUAAGAGUGCAACCGACAUAGAGCACAUGCAAGUGGGCAUAUGGGACAUGAAAUUUCUUCUUACAAAGAUUGCAUGAUUUUUAUAUUAGAGUUGUUCACGUGCAAUGUAUUUAGCUUGUUUUGCAGUUAAAUUAAUUGGAUAAGUAAACAUUGGCAUUUCUAAAUCGACUGUGAAGUGCUUCAUGUACGUGUAAAGUAUUAGAAAUUUCUUUCUUGGCAACUUGUUUUUUCCUUGCCAUCUACUGGUAGGUUUGACUAAAAUUAUAUUCCCUGUCAUGCUAAUUAAUUUUCAUGUGCAUGCUCAAAAGAAGAGUAUGACCUUAGUGCACCAAAAUCACUUUGAUUAAUUUGUGAUAGGUUUUUUUGCAUCAUUUAGAUAAUGUUUAGUUCUAAGAAAAAUUUAUAUAAAAAUGGUUUAUUUAUCUUACAUAUAUAUAUAUAUAUAUAUAUUUUUUUUUUUUUCAUUUUUUUUUCUUCUAUUUUAUUUAUUUAUUUUAUUUUCCUUAUGUUUUCCUCACAUUUUCCGGAACUAAACAUAGUCUUACGAAAUCAACAAUUGCCUUCAACUGAGUAGAUUCUGUUGUUUUAGCAAUGUUAGGCUGCUAACUUGUGGUGGUACGAACCAAAUGACCCAUGUUAAUCUUGGCUUGGUUUGAUUUGGCUCUAUCUCAGAGAGCUAAAGGAUCACGUCAACUCUGGUUUCUACUAUUCAGGUCCAUUCCCAGAUGAACUGGUUCAAAUUUGAGAAAAUGGUAACAGACCUUUAGUGAUGUUGGUUUGGAGCCAGUUGCCAAACCCGCCCUGAGCUUUACCACUAAUGUCAAGGGAGAAAGCCAUUUGAACAAAAACAAUAGCUUCAAGAGACUGAAUCGUGGAUGAAAUCUGAUCCACAUUUCUUCUCAUUUUGGGAAAAAAUGAGAACUUAACUACAAAGAUUCUACUGCCUCAUUCAUAGUGCUUUUCCUGAUCCAAGGUUGGUUCGUUUCCCAAAUUGUGAGGUGCACGUGCCACUCUCACGCUCAGGAGUGUAUCCACGUGGUGGACAUCAGAUGGUGGCUUAAUAUCUGGUGUCGGUGGCUUUACUUUACUAGGAGAGUAGUGUGUCUUCAUCUCAUUCACUGCCGGAGGGUGGCGUAAGCAGUGACGCUAAGGUGGGGCACAGUCAAUAUCAUUUGCAUUUGACCAUUAUAGUUUUCUCCCGGCUUGAAAGUAACCUUAUCGUGAUAAAGGAUUACUAGCACUAGUUCAGAUGACCGUCAUGUUAAUUCGGACCAUGUUUGUGUCACAUUAUCAGCAACCAUGUGUUUAUGGUUCAUGCUAUCUGCAACUAAACUUGAUAUAUAACCAGGUGAACUUCAAUCAAAAUUCUGGAAGUACUCUUGUGAUAGAUGGUGCCUGUCUGCAGAGUCCAUCAAUUGAAAAAUGGAGUGAGUGUAUCUAUAAGAGGGAAGGCUUGGCAAAUGUUCAGUUUUCUGGGAAUUCAACAAGGAUCUAAAAUAGAUUGUUUUCUUUGCCGACUUCAAUGGUUGAAAUUUGAGAAGAUUGUGUCCACAUAUCACAACUAUUACUGGUCCUUCUGUUGCAAUUUAUCCUGUAAGGCUCUAACAUGUCUUCCAAUUCCCACUUCCCUGUUACUCCAGGAAAGCUAUUUCUGUCAUUGUGAAGAAGAAAAGAGAAUGUACAUAUCGAUGCUUUUAAGUGACUGGAGCAUUCAUAUCAGGUGGUCUGCAGCCAUAUAUGCCACUUUGUGAAGGUUGGAACAGUCAAUCACUAGGCUAUAUAUUGGUGUGGCCCAGCCACUUCAAUCAAGGACAAGUCUUCAUACUUAAAGUCAAAUUCUGCCUUUAGUCUCAUUAUAAAUUGCUGUUUAAAUAUUAAGCAAACUUUUGUUUAAUGCGAUUAAGACAGUACUAACUCAAUACUUGUUCUAUUUUUGGAUGCAAAUGCUUGAUGGUUUCAUCAUUGGAUGGGAUAAAGGUGCAUUCAUGAUUAUGAAUACUUGUAGUUAUAUUUUCAUUCUCUUUUUUCUCAAUGAGACUUGUUGGCACAAUGUUGCUGUUCAGAAACCUACCUCUCCAUGGAAAAUAAGUUGCGAUUGAUAGUACUGGAUAUGUUCAAGAAAGCUAAAUAUAGAUAGCACAAAAUAUUAUCGAUAUAAAUAGCAUUAACAGCGUACGUAUGUCUCAAUGCUCAUCAGCUAUAAGCAUGGGACAAACACUUACUAUGAGCAACUUACGUCAAAAUUCCAGAAUAGGACAUAGAAGUGACAGAUCUAUAUAUAUAGAACACUGCAUAUGAGUCACAAGAAAGGAAAUUACGGGUGCAUAGCAGCUCUUAUUUUACAUACUACUACUCAUACUGAUCAAAGUCACUCAGUUGGGAUGGGUGGGAGUAGGAGGUUUGUGGGGUGGCUUGUGCGGAGGAGUUGGCAGCUUCUUUCCAGGACCUGGUUGCUUCUCUGCUGGAGUUGAAGGAGGCUUAAUCUUCCGAGGUGGCUUGUAUGAGUCUUCAGCAUUCUCAGCUGGAGGGUGACCAGGGUUGUGACCAUAAUGUGGUGGCUUCUCUCCCUUAGGUGGUUUGCCAACUGGGGUUGGUGGCUUGUAUGAGUCUUCAGCAUUCUCAGCAGGAGGGUGACCAGGGUUGUGACCAUAAUGUGGUGGCUUCUCUCCCUUAGGUGGUUUGCCAACUGGGGUUGGUGGCUUGUGUUCUGGGAGUGGCUUCUCCCCCUUGGGAGGUUUUUCCAAUGGGGUUGGUUUGUGUUCAGGAGGUGGCUUCUCCACUGGAGGCUUGUGUUCAGGAGGUGGCUUCUCCACCGGUGGCUUGUGUUCAGGAGGUGGCUUCUCCACCGGAGGCUUAUGCUCUGGUGGUGGCUUCUCCACCGGAGGCUUAUGCUCUGGUGGUGGCUUCUUGAAUGGGGGAUGCUGAGGGUAAUCAGCAAGUGAGGGGGCGGUGAGAACCACCAGGCCAAGCAACACCACUAGCAAAUAUGUAGGAGACAUCUUUGGGUUUGGGCUCAGAUGGUGCAAAACUAGGAGAAUUGGCUAGCCUUUUAUAGCGGAUCGUACUCAAUAAUGAAAUGACACGUGUCAUUAUGACCCAUGUGUAAUGGGGUCGAUUUGGGUCCUACAGUGUUGAAAACUUCGACAUCCAGUUUUGGCCUUUUGCUUUCUCUACAGCCGCCUUGCUUUUUCCCUCUUUCCUUUUGUUUUCCUCCUGCCCCAUUCUAUCAACUAAACACAAUUAUGUAGUUGUUUAAUUCUUAAAUGAGAUAUUAUCGGUCAAUCGUAUUAUAUUUUAUCAAGAGAGAACGGAGUGCAAUGCAGCUGUAAUUUUAUCGUUUACUUUUAUCUCUUGGACCACUGCAUUUUUGUUAAGAGGUGCAAUAAUACACGUCUUUAUCUGCCAUUCAAUGUUUACAGUAAAGAGAGGGCACAAAACUCUUCACUGCUCUGCAUGUGUCCCAAAAAUGCGAUUGGACAAAUUAUGAUUUGCAUGCUAAAAAGAGGCAAAUGAGGUUAAUUCGCACCAUAAUUAUUUGGUUUUCUGGACACCAUAAAAAGAUGUUAUACAGGCAGGGAAAAACCUUCAGAGUUAGCUACCAAAGAUAAUUAUCAAGCAGAUAUCACCAAGAGAAUUCCAUAGAGUCUGAAUCAAAGACAGAUUGCUCGCUCGUGGGGGUUCUUACUUUCUUUUGGGUAUAACUCACUGAGGUCACUGUCUUUUUUAUUUGCAUUUCACAGUUAGAGUUCUGCUCUGGAAGGUUUGUUCUGGAAACAUAUAAAAGGAGCAUCAUUUUGUUCUUGGGUAACCCAUAGUCGUGAGUGGGUCCAUUUGCAUGCUACUUAGUUGAAAAGUUGGACAAUUUGCUCCGACGCCUACCUCCUGGAUUCCAUGCUCGGUAAAACAAGAAUAAAAAAAAAUAUAUAAUUUACAAAUGGGGGAAAGAAAAAAUGUCGGAAAAAAUAGUAAAAUUCAUGUCACAUGCUAGUGAGAGAAGGGGUUGUUACACUCACUCGAAGUUCUUUUCAAAAUAUCGAAUGGUAUUUUACUUUAUGUGUCAGCGCAGUUGUGAAUGGAACGUGCAAAAGUCCAAAUUGGCGUUUUUAUUUUUCCCAUGUAGGAUGGUGACCUUUAAUAAAUAUUUAAAACAAAAGACGAAAAAAAAAAGGAGGGAAAAGGGAUCACAAAAGAUAAAAUAAUGUUUACAAAAGCUCAAUUAGUUUGCAAAUUACUGUUUGGAUUUUGAUAGUAUUUUAUUUGUCGUUCUAUAUUUGAUGUAAAAGAGAAUUUAAGAUAUUUCCGAAGCAAAAGCAUUAGUUUGCUCUGUGAUGUCCCACAUCGAAUAGGGGAGAAAGUUUCUGGCGCUAUAUAUGUAGAGGCUCCUCUUAACCAAGUAGAUGCGUUUUAAAACCAUGAGGGCCCCCUUAGGUCCAAAGCGGACAAUAUCUACAUGAUUGGGUGUAAGUCAUUACAAAUGGUAUCAGAGCCGAUCCCCGACCCCGGUGUGGGGGUUUGUUUGGCCCUGUAAGGGGUGUUUGUCUGUUUGACCCCACAAUCCCAUGGGACACAACGAGGACGUUGUGUCUGCAUGGGGGGGCGUUUGUGAUGUCCCACAUCGGAUAGGGGAGAAAGUUCCUAGUGCUAUAUAUGUAGAUGUUUCUCUUAACCAAGUAGAUGCAUUUUAAAAUUGUGAGGGCCUCUUUGGGCCCAAAGCGGACAAUAUCUACAUGGUUGAGUGUAAGUCAUUACAUGCUCCAUGUCAAUUUCAGCAUUUCUCAUAUGUUUCACACAUACACAGAAGAGCAUCGUUUUUUAAAGCAUGCAUUUAUGUUGGAUUAAUUUGGAUUUUGUGGGAACUGGGGCAAGGAUCACAUGGAAGAGAGGUUGACUUUUUUCAGUACUUCAAUGGUUGAAAUAUGUGAAGGCUUGAUUGAUACUAAAGCUUGAAAUUGCGACUCUGUCAUUUGUAAAAAAAUAUGACAGCUUCCAUGCUCUCGUUUGGUUGCAUUGUCCGGUCGAGAGGUGCAAAAAGCAUUCUCUCUCUUCUAAUAGUCUUUUCGUUUAAAUCAAGGGAUUUGCCUUCCCGGUCGAGGUCCAAUAGAGGGUAACGGUCACCUACUAAACAUUAAAUGCUCCAACAACUAGUGAACUGAUCGACCCCAGCUCGACUAGUUGAGGUUACUUUUUGGUUUUCUUGUCUCCCGAGGUUAGAAACCUAUAAAUAGAGAGCUUCACUUCAUUUAUGAGUAAGAGAACACCUAAAUUUAUUUGUUUACCUACUUGUUUUUGCCAUAAAAGCUCUCAUUUCUUUUCUUGGUGUAUUAAAUCUCCAUUUGCAUAUCCUUUAGUGCACCUUUGUGAUUCAUUCUAGCCUUGAGUUGUAUUUAAGCCUUUGUUGAGCUAGGUUGAGAGUUUCAUACUUGUUUAUUGAGUGUUAAAGCCUUCAAGUGAGUUAAAACUUGAAGAGAUUGUGUAAGAGCCCAUUGGAGUCGGAAUCCAAGUGUAAAGGUGAUUAAAAGCUUGGUUGAAGCUUCAAGUUAGUGGAACUCUCACUCGGUUAUGAGCUUGAGAAGAGUGGACAUAGACAAGGCAGUGUCGAACCACUAUAAAAUCUGAGUUUGAUUUCUCUAACCUUAUCUCUUUAUAUUUGCUUCUCUUGUGCUUAAAUUUUUUGUGUUUAAAAAGAAUUUUUAAAAACUCAAUUCACCCCCUUCUUGGGAGUUUUUCUCUUUUAAGAUCAGCUUUUAUUUUCUCAAUUGGUAUCAGAACUAUGCCUCUUGUUUAAGACUUAAUCGUCUAAGAGGAAAUGGCUAAUCCAUCAAGUUCAUCUCACAUUGAAAGUUUUGCAACCAAUAGACUUCUUUUUUUUUUUUUGCGGGAACUGAUUAUCCCUAUUGGAAAACUAAAAUGACUUGGUUUUUACAAUCAAUUGAUUUAGAUGUAUGAGAUGCCAUUGAAGAUGACCUAACUUUUCCUUCAAAACUAGUUGAUGGAGUCAUGGUUCCAAAACCUAAGCAAGAAUGGGAUGAGCGUGAUUGAAGAAAUUUUCAAUUAAAUGCUAAAGUCGUUUAUACUUUGCAAUGCUCUAUGGACAGAAAUGAAUAUAAUAGAAUAUGUCAAUGCAAAUCGGUUAAAGAAAUUUGGAGAUUGCUUGAAAUAACUCAUAAAGGAACAAAUCAAGUUAAAGAGUCAAAAAUCAAUUUACUUGUUCAUAGAUAUGAAUUGUUUUUUAUGAAAGAUAAUGAAACUAUUGUUAAGAUGAUCACUAGGUUCACCAACAUUGUUAAUGGUCUUAAAGCCUUGGGAAAGACCUACAAGGAAUCCGAAAACGUGAUGAAGAUCUUGAGGUCACUUCCAUCAAAGUGGCAUACCAAGGUCACCGCAAUUUAAGAAGCAAAAGACUUGAUCAAGCUACCUUUGGAGGAGUUCAUAGGGUCAUUGAUGACAUAUGAAAUCAAUUUGGCAAAGAAGUAACAAAAAGGUGAAGACAAAAAGAAGAAGAACAUAACUCUCAAAGCUACAACUAAGGAAGAAGAAGUUGAAGAAGAAAAACAAAUUGAAGAAGAUGAAGAUUUAGCCCUCAUCACAAGAAAGUUCAACAAAUUCAUGAGGGGUGAAAGGUUUAGAAGAAGAAGGUUCACUUCUAGAAGAGACUUUUCUAAAAAGGAAUCUUCAUCUAAUGGUGACAAAAAGAGAUGGGAAGAGAAAAGAGACUUGGUGUGUUUCAAGUGCAAGAAACCGGGACACAUUAAAUAUGAUUGUCCUCUCUACAAAAGUGAAGUCAAGAGGAAAAAGAAUAAGGCAAUGAUGGCCACUUAGAGUGAAAGUGAAGAUGAAUCAUCCGAAGAAGAAAAUGAGAAAGAAGUGGCAAACAUGUGUUUCAUGGCAAUAGAUGAACUUGAUGAGGUAAAAUCUAACCUUAGUGAUUAAGAUAUACAUGAUGCAUUUGAAGAAUUGUAUGAGGAUUUUUAAAAACUUAGUUUGAAAAAUAUUUCUCUUAAAAAGAAAGUUCAACAACUUGACAAAGAACUUAGAGAAGUAAAAGAAAAAUUUUCAAAUGUUAAAGUUUCUAAAACUCAUCUUGAAAAAGAAAAUGAGAUUCUAAGAAAGAAAAAUGAAUAGUUGAACUCCUCUCUUUCAAUCUUUUCUUCUAGACAAAAAUCUUUUGAAAUGAUUCUAACUAGCUAAAAAUGUGUUUUUGACAAACAAGGGUUAAGAUUUAAAUCUUCAAAAAAUCAAAAGUAUUUUAAAAACUAUUUUGUAAAGGAAUCCACAAGUGCAAGUCCUUCCACUACUUGCAACUUUUGUGGAAGAGAAUGGCACAUUAGUAGUACGCCCUUUAAGAAAUGGUUCUCAAAAGAAUUUAAAUGCAAAAACUAAAAAAGAUUUGGAUUGAGAAAUCCAAGGUCACUAACCCUCAAGGACCCAAAAAGAUAUAGGUACCUAAAUCAACUUGAGUUUUAUGUUGUAAGGUUCAAAGAAUGAUAAGUGGUUCUUAGAUAAUGGUUGCUCAAGACACAUGACCGGAGAUGAAUCCAAGUUUGCUUUUCUUAAAAAGAAAAAUGGAGGAUAUGUUACCUUUGGAGACAAUGCAAAAGAAAGGAUGAUUGGUCAAGGCAACAUUGGUAAUGGCACAUCCUCUCUCAUUGAAAGUGUUUUAUUAGUAGAUGGUUUCAAACAUAACCUUUUAAGCAUUAGUCAAUUUUGCGACAAAGGUUUUUAAGUGAUUUUUUAAGCAUCUCAUUGCAUCAUCAAGGAUAUUCAAAAUGAUAAAACCAUUUUCAUGGGCCAUAGAUGUGAUAAUGUUUAUGCUAUAAAUAUUUCAAAAUAUGAUGGCCAUGAUAGAUGUUUUUCAAGCAUGCAUGAUCAAAGUUGGUUGUGCCAUAGGAGAUUGAGACAUGCUAACAUAGACCUCAUUUCCCAACUCAACAAAGAUGAACUUGUUAGAGGCCUUCCCAAAAUAAUUUUUUAAAAAGAUAAAGUUUGUGAAGCUUGUCAAGUGGGAAAGUAAAUCAAAAACUCUUUUAAAAACAAAAACUUCAUUUCCACAUCUAGGCCACUUGAGUUGUUGCAUAUGGAUUUAUUUGGUCCCUCUAGGACACCAAGUCUUAGAGGAAAUUCUUAUGCAUAUGCUAUUGUGGACGACUUCUCUAGAUACACAUGAGUCUUGUUUUUUAGUCAAAAGAAUAAAGUUUUUUAUGAGUUUUCAAAGUUUUGCAAUAAGAUUCAAAAUGAAAAAGGUUUUUCAAUUACUUAUAUAAGAAGUGAUCAUGGGAGAGAAUUCGAAAAUAUUGAUUUUGAAGAGUAUUGCAAUGAGCAUGGAAUUGACCACAAUUUUUUGGCUCUUAGAACUCCUCAACAAAAUGGGGUAGUUGAAAGGAAAAAUAGAACUCUUCAAAAAAUGACAAGAACCAUACUAAAUGAAAACAACUUACCAAAAUAUUUUUAGGCCAAAACGGUUAACACUUCUUGUUAUGUUUUAAAUAGAGUAUUAUUGAGGCUCAUACUUAAGAAAACUCCCUAUGAGCUUUGGAAAAACAAAAAACCCAACAUUAGUUAUUCCAAAGUCUUUGGAUGCAAUAUUUUAUAAUAAACACCAAAGACAAUCUUGGAAAAUUUGAUGCAAAAUUGGAUGUUGGAAUUUUCCUUGGUUACUCAACUUCAAGUAAAGCUUUUCGAGUUUUAACAAAAGAACCAUGGUUGUAGAGGAGUCCAUCCAUGUUAUUUUUUAUGAAUCUCCAAGAAAGAGAGAGGAUUGAUGAUGAUUUAGGUUUGAAGACCUCUAUAGGAAGAUUGCAAAUCGAAGAUAGAAGACAACAAGAAGAAAAUGGAGAGAAUCCAAAGAAAGAAGGAUCACCAUUGGCACUACCCCCUCAUCAACAAGCGCAAGGUGAAUCAAGUCAAGAGCUUCCUAAAGAAUGGAAGUUUGUCAUCAAUCACCCACAAGAUCAAAUUAUAGGCAAUCCAUCUAGUGGGGUAAGAACUAGAUCCUCUCUUAGAAAUAUUUGCAAUAAUCUAGCUUUUAUCUCUCAAAUUGAGCCUAAAAAUAUAAAUGAUGUUUUAGAUGAUGAAAAUUGGAUAAUUGCAAUGCAAGAAGAGUUAAAUCCAUUUGAAAGAAGUGGAGUAUGGGAAUUAGUACCAAGACCUUCAAAUCAAAGUGUUAUUGGAACUAGAUGGAUCUUUAGAAAUAAAAUGGAUGAAAAUAGCAUAAUUGUUAGAAAUAAAGCAAGAUUGGUAGCCCAAGGUUUUAAUCAAGAAGAAAUGAUAGAUUAUGAAGAAACCUUUGCCCCCGUAGCUAGGUUGGAAGCCAUUAGGAUGCUACUUGCCUUUGCAUGUUUUAAAGACUUUGUUUUAUAUCAAAUGGAUGUGAAAAGUGCUUUUUUAAAUGGUUUUAUAAAUGAAGAAGUAUAUGUUGAACAACCACCCGGUUUUCAAAGUUUCAACUUUCCUAACCAUGUUUUUAAACUUAAAAAGACACUUUAUGGUUUGAAACAAGCACCUAGAUCAUGGUAUGAAAAAUUGAGUAAAUUUCUUUUGAAAAAAAUGUUUUAAAAUGGGAAAAAUUGACACAACUCUUUUUAUAAAAACCAAAGAAAAUGAUAUGCUCUUAGUUCAAAUAUAUAUUGAUGAUAUCAUUUUUGGUGCUACUAAUGUCUCUCUUUAUGAAGAAUUUUCUAAGUGCAUGCAUAGUGAGUUUGAAAUGAGCAUGAUAGGAGAACUCAACUUCUUCCUUGGACUUCAAAUCAAGCAACUAAAGGAAUGAACCUUCAUCAAUCAAGCAAAGUAUAUAAGAGAUCUUCUCAAAAGGUUCAACAUGGAAGAAGCCAAAACAAUGAAGACUCUAAUGAGCUCAUCCAUUAAGCUUGAUAAGGAUGAGAAAGGUAAAUCCAUUGACUCUAUUAUGUAUAGAGGCAUGAUAGGUUCUUUGCUCUAUUUGACCACUAGUAGACCUUACAUUAUGUAUAGUGUGUGUUUGUGUACUAGAUUUCAAUCUUGUCUUAAAAAAUCUCACUUAAGUGUCGUGAAAAGAAUCCUCAAAUAUUUGAAAGGGACAAUGGACAUAGGCUUAUGGUAUCCUAAGAGUGAUAACUUUGAAUUAAUUGGUUUUUUGGAUGCUGAUUUUGUCAGUUGUAGGGUUGAAAAAUAAAACACUAGUGGCACUUUUCAUUUCUUAAGACACUUACUUGUCUCAUGGCAUAAUAAGAAGCAAAAUUUGGUAGCUUUGUCAACAGCAGAAGCUAAAUACAUAGCAACUGGUUUAUGUUGUGCACAAAUCCUUUGGAUGAAAUAAACACUUAGUGAUUUUGAUUUAUCUUUUGAGCAUAUUCCUAUUAAAUGUGAUAAUAGUAGUGCCAUAAGUAUAUCAAAAAAUCUCGUGCAACACUCUAGGACUAAGCAUAUAGAGAUUAGACAUAAUUUUCUUAGAUAUCAUACACAAAAGGAUGAUAUAACACUUGAAUUUGUAAGCAUAAAAGACCAACUUGCCGAUAUCUUUACAAAACCUCUAAGAACAUUUUGUUGAUAUUAGAGGACAAUUAGGAGUGAUUUCUUUAUGAUCUAAUGUGAUGAAUUCUUGAUGAAUAUACUUUUUGAUUGCAUGAAUUUCAUGUCAUAUAUGCAUCAUAUAGAAAUAUACUUAGAUAAUGGUCAAAUUUCGACCAAAAAUCAAAAUUCCCAUGGCAUUAGGCAUAAAAAUUUUGGAAUUUCAACUGAAAAUGGUAGGAGGAGGAUCACAAAAUGAGAAAGUAUGCAAAAAUUGAAAAAUCAAAACGUUGACCAAGCGGUCAAUCGGACUAGACCGAUCGACUAGUUUGUCGAGAUUUAGGAUUUUUAAGAGACUCCAACGCUUCAAUUUUUGCACCGUUCUCCUCUAUUUCUUCACGGUUUCUCUGAUUUUGUCUUUUAGAGACUAAUUUGAGUGCGUUUUGGAUCAAUUGAAGCAUUUUGGAUUGGAUUUUAGGAAGAUUGAAAGUUAAGGUUUCGGAUUUGGGUCGCCUUCUCUUCCUCUCGCGUGUCACAAUCAGCUUUAGCAUUGUUCUCUUUCCAUUUUCACACACCUAGGGUUUCAGUUGUGAGCAUCUCUCUCUCUUUACCAACCACUACUCCCUUGCUUCUUCCAUAUGGCUCCUAGGCGAGAGUCCGCUACUUCUAGGGCACAAGGCAAGCACCCAACUGAGUCGUCUCAGUCAAAGGCACGUCGAAAAGUGAGAUUUGACAUUGCCUUGUUCAGUUCCAUGGAGGACUACCAACUAUACAAGCAACACUUUGCUUAGAGACGAGUAGUUCCCAAGAGAAAUAUUAAUUUUCCUCAACUUCAGCAUUUCGAAUUUAAGGGUCUAUUUACUAGGAUGGUUGGUUGUCUAUUGUCACAAUUUCGGAGCCGGUUUUCCUGACCUUAGUGCGAGUUUUUUACUCGAGGGCGACUUAUGGCAUGGGUGGCAUGAUCAUUUCUACUGUUGGAGGAGUUGAGAUCUGUCUGGACCCAGAGAGCAUCUGCCAUAUUUUCGAUAUUGCUCUGGUUGGACUCAAAGUAUACAAGUCCAAAAUGUGGCCCAUUGUGCCAGGAUUUGAGCUUAGAGAGGUCAUUCAGAGGAUUUGUGAACUUCCAGACGCCCAGGAGAUGGGCAAACCAUUGCCACACAGUUUGACGGUCAUCAACAGGGUGCUACACCAUAUAUUGUGCUCUAUCUUUCUACCACGAAGUGGACAUUGAGAUGAGGUCUCUUAUUAUGAGGCAUUCCUUAUUGACUCCAUUCUAACGGAGAGACGAAUUCAUCUACUAUGUCAUCAUUCACUAAGCCUCCUCACAGUGACAUACCACCUCAUCAGGCACCUCUUGCUCCUGACCAUGCUCCAUUGAUGGAUUUAUUUACUCAUAUUAGCUCUCUAGGCACUCGCAUGAAGGAGUUUGUUGUAGUUAGUGAUACAUGGUUCUACUCCAUAGAGGAUCGCAUGGAUCAGUAUCAGACUGGCUUCACGUCACAGUUUGAGUAUCUCCAAUAGAGGAUUGAGCAUAUUGAGGAUCACUUGAGCAUGAGAAGAUGAUGGCUUUUCUAUGCUCUGUGUUUCCACCUCCACCUCGUCAACCUUGAUUUCUUAGAGACCCAUUGUUUUCAUUUUGUAAUGUUGCCAAAAGGGGGAGAUAUUUAGGAUCUAGGACUCUAUAGGAGACUUACAUGCAUAUCAUUUUCAUAUCAUUGUUUGGAUCGUACAUAUUGGAUAGUGAUACUUUUUACUUAUAUAUGAUAUGCCUAUAUGUUUCAUGUCUUACAUUGUUUCUUAUUGCAAAUUAUCUCUAACAUGUCUUGAUUAUCUUUUUUUUAACUUCAUAAAUUUUGAUUGUUAACCCAUGAUUGGUUUGAGGGGAAGAUUCUUCUUCUCCUAGAUAACCAAGGUUUGUCAUCAUAAAAAAAUUGGAGAUUGUUAGCCCAAGGGUUCUCCUAAUCAUGUUUUGAUGAUAACAAACCAUGCUUAAGUUACUAAUUGGUUUGAAUUAUAAAGAAUUUCAAGUGUUAAUUUGAAAAUUCAUCAAAGAACCUAAUGGAUGCAAGAUCAAGAUUUUUGGAAGACCUUUAAUCAUAAGAAACAUAUGUAAGAUGAAUGCAUGGGUGCACUUAAGAUUUGCAUAUCAUUUCAUGCAUAUUUGGAAAACACGGUUUAUGCUUUAAAGUUACAUUUCCAUCAAAAUUUGAGAUCCAUCAAAUGAACCUUAGGAAAAAUGUUUUAAAAUUGGCAUAUAAUUUUACCUAAAGACCUUGCCUAAGUGUUAGAAGCAAAAGGACAAAAAAAAUAUAGGUUUUCUGGUCAAAAAUGGUGAACCAGUCAAGGCAUUGUCUAAAUCAGCUCAAUCGGCCAAGGUACCGGUCGAUCGGUUUCCCUUUCCCUGUCGAGAUCUAGUCAAGAGGUACAAAAAUCACAAUCUCUGUCUCUUUCUCUCUUUGUCUAUCUUCCAGUAGUCUUUCCUUCCCGGUCGAGGGAUUUGCCUUCCCGAUUGAGGUCCGAUUGAGAGUAAUAGUCACUUGCCAAAUAUUAAAUGCUCCAACAGUUAGUGAACUGGUCGACCCCCACCUUGCCCAGUUGAGGUUACUUUUUGGUUUUCUUGGCUCCCGAUGUUAGAAACCUAUAAAUAGAGAGUUCCACUUCAUUUAUGAGCAAGAGAACACUUGCAUUUAUUUGUUUACCUACUUGUUCUUGCCUUAAAAGCUCUCAUUUCUUUUCUUGGUGCAUUAAAUCUCCAUUUUGAUAUCCUUUAGUGCACCUUUGUGAUUCAUCUUAGCCUUGAGUUGUAUUUGAGCCCUUUUUUUAGCUAGGUUGAGAGUUUCAUACUUGUUAAUUGAGUGUUAAAGCCUUCAAGUGAGUUGAAACUUGUAGAGAUUAUGUGAGAGUCGAUUGGAGCCGAAAUCCAAGUGUAAAGGUGAUUAGAAGCUUGGUUGAAGCUUCAAGUUAGUGGAAUCCUCACUCAAUUAGGAGCUUGAGGAGAGUGGACGUAGCCAAGGAAGUGUCGAACCACUAUAAAAUUUGAGUUUGAUUUCUCUAACAUUGUCUCUUUAUAUUUGUUUAUCUUGUGCUUAAAUUUAUUGUGUUUAAAAAGAAUUUUUAAAUACCCAAUUCACCCCCCUCUUGGGUGUUUUUCUCUUUUAAAAUUAGCCUUUAUUUUCUCACAAACUAUUGUAGUAUAGUGGUUUUUAGGUGUCAUCCAUUAGGAUGAAUUGUUCUCGGUAAUUAAGGCGUGAAUGAGAGGAGAAUUAAUGAUUGUGAUUAAGUAAAAUUGAUUUGAAAAUUCAUGGUGAAAAAUCAAUUUAACAAUGGUUUCUAAUUGAGAAAAACAAUGAAAUGUGAAAUAAAAUAAAAUUAAUAGGAAAUGAAAUUCUCGAAGUUAGAAUUUUCUAAAAAACAAAUUCCAUGGUGAAUGGAUGUUGAGAUCUAAUUUUCAUCAAGUUAGAUUGAAAACCGAAAUUUUCAUAUAAACUGAUUUUUUAUUUAGUUUUAGGUCUAGAUUUAAUUUCCCUUAAAAUUAGGUUAUUUAAUCCAAGAAAUCAAUUCAAAUCAUAUAUUCAAUUCAUCUUAAAUUAUCUUCCAAUUAUUCACACAAUGCAACUAUUCAAUCUCAUCAAAUCUAGCUUUUAAGAAUUUAAUGAAUCUACCUAGUUUGCAUUGUAAUAGUCAUCCAUGACAAUUUGAAGAGAAAAAUAAUUCAAUUAAUCAAUCACUUGGAUCAAAUUACCUUUGCAAUUAAAGUUCAUUUCUCUAAUUCACCACAGAUUUUGUCUCUAGAUCCUCCUUUCUCAAAGAAAAAUGAGAUUUAGCCACACAUGAUUGGAGAUUUGGUCUCAUAAGGCAUGUUUAGCUAGUGAUAAAAUGAGAGAAAAUAAAGAAAAAUAGAGAAUUCGAUUAAGAAAGAAAAUCUAAAAAAUUCUACAAUUAGAAAUGUCCAAAAAGCUUUUUCAUGAGAAAAUCAAGUUUCUAUUUAUAGGCCAAGGUCAAGUGGACACUUGACAUCAUCUAAGAGGUCUUCCGGAAGCUUCUUCAUCAAGAAAUCUGGAGUUUAAUAAUAAAAUGGUCAUUUCACAAGAGCUCAAACAAUUUCGCAUGAUUAUGUGAAAUAAAAAAUGCAACAACAGCAAUUUACAUCUUCUUGGAGCAUUUCGCAUGACUGUGUGAAAUUUUCACAUGAUCAUGUGGAAUCGACUUGACAACUCUCAUUUAGCCUACAACAUAAUUCCACCUUUUGGUCCAUUUUUCAUAGUCAUGCGAAAUGGAAAUAUUUGAUUUUUAAGUUUUCUUUUGUCAUUUCUUUCAUUUCCUUCUCUUGAUUCCACUUCAACUACCUCCGAAUCCUGGUCCAAACCAAUUGCAUUACUUCUUUCAUUAUGCAUUUGGAUCAUCAUCAACAUUAUUUGUUCUCUUCAAUUUGAUUCAUCUCUUUUGUCACCAAUUUAUCAAAAUCAUACCUUGAAAUGACUCCAAAACUUCAUAAAACUUGUUAGUAACUCUUGCAAGGGCAACAACAUAUUAAUUAAGUGUUUUAGGCAUAGUUACUACUCAAAAGAUGCGAAACUCAUGAUAAUUAUUAUAUAAAAUAUGCUCUUUUUGAGUAGUAAUCAACUUUCUUGCAUAAGCAGACCUUUUAGGGUGGAGUACUAAAGACCAAUAUGCUUGUCCUUGUUGUAAUAAAGAAACUUGCUCUUAUUGAUUGCACCAUGGGAGAAAAUUUUGCUACAUGAGUUAUCAUCAAUUUCUUCCCACCAAUCAUAGAUUUAGACGUGACAAGAGGCCUCUUAAUGGCAAGGAGGAACUGACACUCACACUUAUACAAUUAUCGGGCAUUGAUGUGUUGCAACAAUUAGAAUAACUUACACCAAUUAUGUUGGGGAAGUCACAAAAGGCAAACAUGAAAACUAAAAGGAAAAAAGAAAAAUGUUACAUAUCACCACAACUGGAAAGAAAAAAGUAUUUACUUUCAUUUGCCAUAUUGGAAAGCACUUAUUUUACAUCAUAAUAAUUUAGACAUAAUGCAUAUUGAGAAAAAUGUGUGACAAUAUAAUUGAGACAUUGUUCAGUAUUGACGAAGAAACAAGGACAACCUAAAUAGUCAUCUCGAUUUACAAGCUCUAACUAUUAGAAAUGAGAUUCACCCAAUAGAAAGCAGGACCAAAUUUAUUUUGCUUGCAACAUGCUACUCACUCACCCCAAAUGAGAUUAAGGAAUUUUGCAAGUUUUUGAAAUCAAUAAAGGUCCCCAAUGGCUAUUCUUUCAAUAUCUCUCGUUAUGUGCAACUCAAUGAAAGGAAGAUAUAUGAGCUCAAAUUGUAUGAUUGUCAUGUCCUAAUGCAACAACUUCUCUCACUUGUAGUUCGUGGAGUUCUACAUAAGAAUGUUUGUGGAGUUAUCAUAGAAUUGCGUAAUUUUUUCAAGCAAUUGUGCUCAAAGGUGUUAGAAACAAAUCACUUACACCAACUUGAGAACAAUAUUAUUGUCAUACUAUGUAAAAUGGAGCAAAUAUUUCUUCCAUCAUUCUUUGAUAUUAUGGUGCAUUUACUUGUGCAUCUAGUAAGGCAAAGGUUGCAAGACUUGUGCAAUAUUGUUGGAUGUACCUAAUUGAACGAUAUUGUUAUAAUUUCAUAUGAAUCAUUUAAUUUUAUUUUAUAUUAUGUUCAGUUCAUUAACAUGUACAUUGGUCUACAUAUGGAUGAUGAUAGGUACCUAAGCACUUUAAAGUCAUAUGUGCGUAAUAGAACUUUUCUAGAAGGUUCUAUUGUAGAAAGGUACCUUGCAAAAGAAUGUACAACAUUUUAUUCUAGGUACUUGAAUGAUGUGGAAAUAAAGUAUAAUCACAAUGAUAGAAACUUUGUUGGUUUCAACACUAGAGGAGAUGAAAGGGGUUAUCUUUAAACAUAUUGGACAUGCAUUGGGAAAGCCCAUAUUUCAUUAACUUAGUUCAAAAGAGUGGUCACAAGCACAUUUAUAUGUGUUGACAAAUUGCGAAGAUGUCAUACCAUUCAUUGAGUAAAAAAUUUAUUUGAAUUUUAAUUAAAGCUCUAGUUUAUAUCCUUAAUCAAUGUUUUUUAAAUUCACAAGGAGCACAAGCAAACCAUCAAGGCUAGACCACAUAUACGUGUUUGAGACGUAGAUUUAAUUCAUAACAAGGAAUUUAUCAAGUGGUUUGAAAGACAUGUAAGUAUAUUCCUUAUUAUAAGGGAUUUAUUUCACAUUAUGUUUAUAUUGAAUCCAAACCUAUUAUUGAAUUGUAGGUUGAACAAUUACAUAAUGAAGGUCAUAUAUCUGAACACCUUCUCACAUUAUCAUGUGUUCCAAAUUCAUUAGUUACAUGCUUCAAAUGAUAUAUUGUCAAUGGAUUUAGAUCCCACAUUAAAGAACGUGAUAAAAAAGUUUUUAAAAAAAGACUCAGAAUAAUGGAAUUGUUGUAGUUGCAAAAACGUCAAGCUUUACAAGUGCAUGUGAUAUGAGUCCAAUUAUUAGUGAUGCUCUCUACUAUGGUGUUCUAACUAAAGUUGUUGAGUUACAUUAUCUUGGUGAAAAUAAGGUUGUUUUAUUCGAGUUUGAUUGGUGGGAUGUUACAAAUAUUGGAAAAUUGAUAAAAGAUGAUGAGUACAAUUACACAUUUGUUAACUUUGCAUGAAUUCUAACCACGAACGAACGAUUUGUACUUGCAUCUCCAGCAAAGUAAGUGUUCUAUGUGAAGAAUGCGAAUGAAUCAGAUUGGCAUACUAUCAUGGAGAUGCAACCUCAAGACCUCUAUAAGAUGAACGGGAUAGGAUCCAAUGGUGAUUUUGAACCAUUUCAACAAAGUGAACUACAUGAUCACUAAUAUAUCUCAGAUUUAGUUGAUGAAGAUAUAAUCAAGUGGAACAAAAGUGAUGUUUUAGGACUAAUCAUCCUAAAAAAUAUUGUAGUUUCUUAAAAAAAAAAUGAAAAUGAAGAAGAUAAUUGAACCUUUGUCAUACUUUAAAAAGCAACUAUGCAUUGUUCAUUUUGUAUGUUUUGGUUUUCUUCAUUUAAUUUCCUGAUUUUUGUGAUUCAAUGUCAUAUUAUUGAUCUUGAAAUAUUUUUCUAAUUUUUCAUUCUACGAUGGUUUCAACAAGGAUGACAUCAAGUCAAAAAAGGAAAUGUGGUCCCACACACAAUAUUGCAUUACAGGGAUUAAGGUCAGGGAAGAAGGUAAAAGUUGCAUUUAAUGAGUACAAUCAAUUGGUUAAACAGAAAAAUGGAAAACACUUAUCGAGCUACAUAGGGACACUUGUAUCUAACCAACACAAUGUACCUCUCCAAGCUAGUGAUUGGAAAAAUGUUCCAAAUGAUGCAAAAGAGAAAGUAUGGCCUUUGUUUUGGUAUGUUGUAUUUCUCACUAUAUGAUGUCAUUUCACUGUUAUUCUAUUUUGUGACUAACGUUUGAAUCAUAUGUAAGAAAAAUUUGAAGUAGAUAAAGACUGAAAAGAUUACAUGUUGGGUAUAGCCUCAAAUAAAUAUAGAAGCUAUAAAAAUAUGAUGAAUGCAAAAUACUAUGACCCUUGGCAUAAGGAUGCAUGAGGAGAGGUUAAUACAUAAAUCACCAUUUGUCUCUGAUGUUGAUUGGAAGUGGCUUGUCUCUGAUGCAUAAACCAAAUCCCCCACUGAAUGUUUGAUAUUUGAUAGCAGGAAAAACACACCCGCAGCUAUACACCUCCAUCAUUCAGAUAAUUAUAGUGGGGGAGAUGAUUCAUGGUUGCCCUUAUACCCUUUAUUUGCACCAUCUAUUGAGAUUCUUUAUCAUGGCCAGGUUUUACUGCAGCAAUAAGAUAUGGUGGCAACAAUUUUAUCUAUAGGUGCGGUUCCAGACCGCCUCCAUAGGUGCGGUUCCUGACUGCCUCCAUAGGUGCCUCUUCUUGUAAUGUUUGUUCUGGGAAUUACACUUGAAAGCCUUAUCGUGAUAAGGGAUUACAAACACUAGUUCAGAGGACAGCCAUGUUAAACUUCCACUAUGUUUGUGUCACAUUAUCAGCAGCCUAGUGUUUAUUGGUCAUGCUAUCUGCAACUAAUAUAACCCGGUGAACUUCAAUCUAAAUUCUGAAAGUACUCAUGUGACAGAUGGUGCCUUUCAGCAGAUAUCAUCAAUUUAAAAGUAGUGUGUGUGCCUAUAGGUGGGAAGGCCUUGGCAAAUGUUCAGUAUUCCGGUAAUUCAAGAAGGAUAUAUCUAAAAUAGAUUUUCUUCUUGCCCAUUUCAAUAGUUAAAAUUUGAGAAGAUUGUGUCCACAUCACACAAAUAUUAUUGGUCCUUCUGUUGCAAUUUACCUCUGAACAUGUCUUCCAAUUCCCACGGUCCUGUUACUCCAGGAAAACUAUUUCGGUCAUAUUGAAAAAAAAAAUAUUAAAGAAGGUACACAUGCUUUUAAGUGGACUGGGGCAUUCAUAUCAGGUGGUCUGUAUCCACAUAUGCCACUUCGUGAAAGGUGGAACAGCCUAAUCACUAGGCUAUUUAGUGUGGCCCAGCCACGUUAAUCAAGCACAAGUCUUCAUACUUAAAGUCAAAUGGUGUCUUUAGUCUCAUUACACAUCGCUAUUUGAAGAUUAACUCAUCACUAGUGUAAUGCGAUUAAGACAGUCCUAACUCAAUAUUUGUUCUAGUUUUGGAUGCAAAUGCUUGCUGGUUUCAUCAUUGGAUGGGAUAAAGGUGCAAUCAGGACUAUGAAUACGUGCAGUAAUACUUCAUUCUCUUUUUUCUCAAUGAGACUUCUUGGCACAAUUUUGCUGCUCAGCAACCUACCUUUCCAUGGAAAAUCAGUUGUGACUGAUAGUAAUGGAUAUAUUCUAGAAAGCUAAACAUAGAUAGCAUUCAAUAUUAUCGAUAUAACAUUAACAGCGUAUGUCUCAAUGCUCAUCAGCUACAAGCAAUGGACAAACACUUUGAGUAACUCACAGCAGUCAAAAUUCCUAAACAGGACAGACGUGACAGAUCUAUAUAUAGAACACUGCAUAUGAGUCACAGGAAAAGAUAAUACGGGUACAUAGAAGCUCUUAUUUUACAUAUUACUCAUACUGAUCAAAGUCGCUCAGUUGGGAUGGAUGGGAGAAGGAGGUUUGAGGGGUGGCUUGUGCGGGGAAGUUGGCAGCUUCUUUCCGGGAGCUGGUUGCUUCUUUGCUGGAGUUGAAGGAGGCUUAAUCUUCCGAGGUGGCUUGUAUGAGUCUUCAGCAUUCUCAGCAGGAGGGUGACCAGGGUUGUGACCAUAAUGUGGUGGCUUCUCUCCCUUAGGUGGUUUGCCAACUGGGGUUGGUGGCUUGUUUUCUGGGAGUGGCUUCUCUCCCUUGGGUGGUUUGCCAACUGGGGUUGGUGGCUUGUGUUCUGGGAGUGGCUUCUCCCCCUUGGGAGGUUUUUCGAAUGGGGUGGGUUUGUGUCCUGGUGGUGGCUUCUCUCCCUUGGGAGGUUUACCAAUUGGGGUCGGUGGCUUGUGUUCUGGGAGGGGCUUCUCUCCCUGGGGAGGUUUAGUGGGUGGCUUGUGUUCUGGAGGUGGCUUCUCCACCGGAGGCUUAUGCUCUGGUGGUGGCUUCUCGAAGGGGGGAUGCUCAGGGUAAUCACCAAGUGAGGGGGUGGUGAGAACCACCAUGCCAAGCAACAACACUAGCAAGUAUGUAGUAGACAUCUUUGGGUUUGGACUCAGACAGUGCAAAACUACGAGAAAUCGCUAGCCCUUUAUAGCGGCUCGGACCUAAUACUGACAUAAUAUAAAAUAAAUAUUAUAUUUUAUCAAGAGAGAACAGAGUGUAAUUUUAUCAUUAAUACCGAUCGAGGCCAAAGAAAGAAGACCCAUAAUCCAUUUCCCACAAGCAUACACAAUGCAGCUGUAAUUUUAUCAUUUACUUUUAUCCCUUGGACCACUGCAUUUUUGUUGAGAGACACAAUAACACAUUUUUAUCUGUCAUUCAACAUUUACAGUAAAGAGAGGGCACAAAACGCAAUUAGAUAAAUUAUGUUUUGCCUGCUAAAAAGAGGCAAAUAACUUUAUUUGCAACAUAAUUAUUUUGGUUUCUAGUGACCCCGGGGCCUUUCGGUUGGUUUGGGAUCGGAAAAUGAACAUCAUAGGGGGGGUUGUGCCCUUAUGGGCAUAUAUAUCUGAUAGCUUCAACUGGCCUUGUUCCUAGAAAGAAAUUGCCAAAGAUAUAAACUUAUUCCAGGCUGAAAGUAGAUGAGAGUCAUAAUGAACAUCAACCUUUGUUCAGUUUGAUUCAAUGCCCCCAUAGUGUUCAUUUCACAGAUCUGAAUGAUUAUAUCCGUUGAAUACAUAAAUUAAUGAAGACAAAUAUGAAACCCAAGAUACAUCUCUGCAUAACAACCCCAACCCUGGUUGCUAUGUUUCCCUUCUUCUAUUCACAUGAGGAUACUGGUUAUAAUUGUCAAACUUGCAACAAGCCCUUUGACACCUAACGUCAAUGGACGAAUUAAAAGUCUCCUUCAAACGUCUAUUUCACAGCAUGAAGCUUAUAAAGGAUGCUGACAACCUUCAGAGUUAGCGACAAAAGAUAAUUAUCAAGGAGAGAUAGUUCCAUGAGAAUUCCAAGGAGUCUGAAUCAAAGACAAAUUGCUCACUCAAGGGUUCUUAUUUUCUUUUAGGUACAAAUCUCUUGAGUGUUGUUAAAGAAACACGUCACUGUCAUUUUGAUUUGCAUUUAACAUUUCACUUUUGUUCUGGAAGGUUUGUUCCGGAAACAUAUCAAAUGAGCAUCAUUUUCUUCUUCGGUGACACAUGGUCGCGAGUACGUGGGUCCAUUUUCAUGCCACUUAGUUGAAAAGUUGGAAAGAAAAAACAUGCCAACAAGAAGAUAGUGAGAGAAGGGGCACUUCAAGCCUUUAACAUGAACAAACAGUAAAUAAAAGAUGUUUCUCCACUCAUAAAAGUGUGUUAGAUAGCAAUAUAACGAAUCACAUCCAAAAUCUUUACUAGGCUCAAACAUAAAGAAGACUCAUUUUUAAGAAAAGAUAAAAAUGGCAUUGUCUGAUAGUAUCCAAUACACGAGAUGGCACUUAAUUUGUACAAGAUCUGUCAAUGCUGACGCACAUUUUCUGAUUAAAAAAAAACUGAUCAGUCAAAAGCAAUGAAGAGAAGUGAUGACAAUGAAUGAUGCUUCCAAUAUUUUCACCCCUUAUAGUGUUCUUCAUGAUUCAGAUAUAUAAUUGGAAAUAGAACAACCCUAUGCCAUACAUUCGUCUAAGUAUGGUGUCUAAUUUUUUGUGUCAGCGGUUGCGAAUGGAGCGUGCAAAAGUCCAAAUUGGCGUCUCUCCAUUUCCACAUAGGAAGGUGACCUUUAUUGACAAAUACCCAAUAUUUGUAGACAUUCCUUAAAUAUCAUAACUUCUUGUUGAUUUGAAAAUCAUUUUUCAACUACCAUGUUUUAAUAAAUAUUUUUUAAAAUGUAUUUUUAUCAAAGUCCACCAUGAUGGAUAAUAUUCACCAUGCAAUAAUUAAUAAAGUACAAACUAAGCGAAAUGAAAAGCAUUUUCUUUGCUUUGAGUUGAUUUUGGUUGCAUUGAGUUGAUUUUGGUUUCAUGGUUUUUUCAACUCUUAUUUUGAUUGGAAGAUGUCAAGAAAAGAAAACAUAAAGAAAAAUUAAAAGGGAAAAAAGAAGAAAAAUAAAAAAAAAUAGAUUUAAAAGUUAAUAAAUUAUUUUUUAUAUUUAUUUUAAUUCAUUUCACUUAUUUUUCUUUUACUAUAUAAAAUUUAAAUAAUUUAAAUUUUAUAAUUAAUUUAAUUACAUUUCAUUUUCUUCUAUAUUUAAAUAUUGGAAAAAUAUUUUACUUAAUAUUUUUUUCUUUAAUUUCUUUGGCAUUUUGGGAACCAAACUUAGCCUUUAAAAUAAAAAACAAAAAAAAAAUGAAAAUAAGGAGGGAAAAGUGAGAAAAGAUAAAAACAAUAUGUAAAGGAUUUGAAAAGUAUUAGUUUGUAAUUACUAUUUGGAUUUCAAUAGUAUUUUAUUUGUCUUUCUAUAUUUCAUGUAAGAGAGAAUUUAAGAUAUUCCCCAAGGCAAAGCAUUAGUUACCUGCAAUCAGUGGUGAUAAGGCUCCAAGCCAAUUUUGGGCCCCAUAUCUUAAGACAGUACAAUUUCCAUUUCAACAUUUCUGAUUUCUCAGAUGUUUCACAUACCACAGAAGAACAUUGUUUGUGAAAAUAUGCAUUUAUGUUGGAUUUUGUAUGCUGUGGGGACUGGGGCAAGGAUCAUAUGGAAGAGUGGUUGACUUUUUCUGUACUUUAACGGUUGAAAUAGGAUAAGCACGGGCAUUUGUGAGGCUUAAUUGAUUUUGAAGCCUGAAAUUGCGUUUCUGUCAUUUUGUCAAAAAAAUGGCAGAUUCCAUACUCAUAUGUUUGGCCUGUGGCCAUGUACAGAUGCCAUUUAGUGACCAGUUUGUAACUGUCAAUCGUUGCGUUUUGACUCUGCCUCAACAACAUCUGCCAUUGACGGGUUUUCAUACUUGCAAAUCAAAUAGUCUUUCGUCCCAUCAGGAAUUUCGGUUUAAAUAUUAUUAAGCAUACGUUUGGCUGACAAUCAUUAUCCAGUUCAUGAUUUGGUUUCUUACCCUUAAUCAAUGGUUUCUAAGUGAAUAUAUGUAGAAGGAAAUCCGAAGUGUAGACAGUAGUAUCGAUAACUCUCAAUAUUCUCUAUAUAAUAGAAUAAACAGCGUCAUAGUGAUCGUCGCCUACAAGCAAGGUACAAAUACCAAAACGAGUGACUCACAUAGACAUCUCCCAACAAGAUGUAGUAGUGACUGACACAUGGACACAAUUAACUCGUAGAAAAGGAUAAGACCAUUGCACAGCAGCUCUUAUUUUACAUACUACUUAUGCUAACCAAAGUCAAUUAGUUGGGAUGGGUGGGAGAUGGAGGUUUGUGCGGUGGCUUGUGGGGCGGAGUUGAUGGCUUCUUUCCAGGAGCUUCUGGCUUUUUCAUCGGAGCUGAAGGAGGCUCAAUCUUAUGAGGCGGCUUGUAUGAGUCUUCUUUACUCUCGACAGGAGGGUGGCCAGGGUUGUGAUCAUAAUGUGGUGGCUUCUCUCCCUUAGGUGGCUUGCCAACUGGGGUUGGUGGCUUGUGUUCAGGAAGUGGUUUCUCUCCCAUGGGAGGUUUAGCAAUUGGGGUUGGUGGCUUGUGUUCUGGGAGUGGCUUCUCUCCCUUGGGAGGUUUAGUAGGUGACUUGUGUUCUGGAGGUGGCUUCUCCACCGGAGGCUUGUGCUCCGGUGGUGGCUUCUUGGUUGGAGGGGGCUUGGGGUAAUCAGCAAGAGAUGGGGUGGUGAGAACCACCAGUCCAAGGAACAACACUAGCAAGUAUGUGGGAGACAUUUUUGAGUUUGGGCUGAUCAGAUGAUGCAAAACUAAAGCAUUACGUGACCUUUUAUAGCAUGUAGCUCCCAAUACCCACUAAGUAUUGUGGGGUCCAUUUGUGCCCUACGGGGUUGAAAACUUAGACAAUUGGGCAAGGACCCACCUGACUAUGGAGGACUAGUGAGGUGUGAUCAUAGCUUUAGGAUUUUUCUUCCUCUGCAGCCGUCGUGCCGUUGGCAUGAUUUUCUUAAUCUUAAAUAAAGGCAUAGUUAUAGAGUUGUUUAAUCUCUAAAUGGGAUUUUAUAUAUAUCUUCAGAUAGCCAUUAAUAUAUUUGAUGAAGAAAGAAAGACAAGUGCAUACAACAUGUAUACGACUAGCUUUCAUGGAGUUCAUUUAUGAUCAGUUUUCCUGUACAUGUAAACCAGGAUCAUAUAUAUGUUUCUGUUCCACAACUAUUUUGGAAUCUUGUUUAUCAGUUUUUAUCAUUAUAAUGUCACAUAGGCUGCCAACUUGGGCGCUAAAAGAACCAGUUGGGCUAGUUCGUUUCAGAAUUUCAAUGUGGAUUCAGGAAUUGUUUUGUAAGAUAUGCGAAAUAGUAGAGGGAUGAAUAGUGUUUCAUUAAUAAAAGUGUCCUGUAAAUUAGAAGGUGUCAUAGAAACUAUAAUCAAUAAAUAACUUUUUUUCCCCACGGGUGGUGUUUCUUGUGGGGAUCAGUGACUGGUUUAGGUUCACCCAAAAUGAGUUCAGACUAAAAUUGGUUUGAGUCAAUGCCGUGUCUCUUUUUUCCAGAAAUCAACUAUUUUAUGCAUUGAAUAAAUCAUACAAAGAAAAUAUGAACGCCCGCAAAACCUAAACCCUGGUUGCUAACUUUCUAUGUUUCAGUUCUAUUCACGCAAGAAUAUUAGUUUAAGUUUGGGAAAAAUGGCAACUUACCUAGUGAUUACUUGGUUUUGGUUUGCGACUAUUUACGCAACCAACCAUGAGUUUGACUUUAACGUCAUGGGUUGAAGCCUCCUACAGGAAGGGAGAAAGCUCCACAGCUAGCUCCAAAAGAGAAUUAUCACAUUGAUAGCUCCAGAGAUUCCCAAGGGGACUGAAUCAAAGACAAGUUCCUCACUUUUUCUUCUUUUGAGGCCAAAUAUGAACCAAGGAUCACACAACCUCAUUCAACUUCAUAAGUUUGAUUUCAUGCAGUUGAACACUGGGUGAAGGCCAUGACAAGAAUUGAUUCAAAAAUUCUAUCACUCUUUUAAGUAAUGGAAGAUUAUUAUCUCUGAUUGGCAUCACAACAGCACAUGCUCCUAGAUCUUUCUAGACACUCCAUGCAAUGAAAGCACAAUGGAUCUUGUAACGAUAGAAACUAAGCCAUGCUACAGUACUAGAUGAUGAGGUAAAACUAGUAGACACGGGUGGCAGCCUAUAUGGGAGGGACACAAGUCUAAUUGAUUUGCAUUUCAGCAUUAUAGAUAGGUAUGUUUUGGAAGAUUUGUUCUGGAAAUACCGCACCAAGUAGGAUUCUUUUUCUCUUUAGUGGGUCCACUUGCAUGCCAAUUAACGAGUUGAAAAGUAUGAGCACCUACCUCGUGCUCGUGGAACCGAAGGUCAGUGAAGUGGGGCUCCUUUUGGCCUCGUGUAAACUUGAUUCAGAAGUGAAGUUAAUAGUCUUCCAUUCAGAUGGAUACAUGGGAAUUUUUCUCUUUUAUUUAUUUAUUUAUUUUUUUUUUGUGUGUGUAUGUCAAAGGAUAAUGAAUGAAGCGCGUUAGCUUGUUUUCUGACUGGAACCGCAGAUGUCCAAAUUGGAGUUCCUUCAUUUCUUACUUAGGAUUGUUACAUGUAUAAACAAGGUAUAAGAAAUAUGCCAACGUGUCUUGAGGAGUUAUUGAUUAGAAAUAACAAGUCACCCGACUGUAGAGUUCCAAGAUUUGAAUCUUCAGACCCUAUAGCAGCCUCUGGGGUACGUGGCAUCCUAUAGCAUAUUAAUGAAGGCUUUUUCGAUUUAGACUUCACAAUACCAAUUAAUAUGUAUGCACAAAAUGGAGAUGACCCCAAAAAAAACAGAAUCGCCAUAGUUUAUGAGGUUAAGGUGAUUCUCCACUUAAUAUCUACAUUAGCUAAUUAUGUAAAUCAAAUGAACUUCUAUUUUUCCUUUUUUUUUUUGGUUUAUGUCAAAUAGUAGCCCAUAAUUAACCCAACCAUUAGCCUGUUUGAAUUGAUUUCACAUGCACAAUGUUGUAGUAGUUCAUAUUUUGAAUUUUAUUUUUACAAAGGUAGUUAAGGAAAAUGAAGUAUAAUAAUUAUAAAAGCAGACUAUAUACACUACAAUAAUUGUUAGAAUGGUAUCUCAAAUUCUAAUUUAAAAUAUUAUUUUUUGUAAAAGAAAUAUUAUAUAGAAUAUUUCCUAAUUUUAUAAAUGAUUAUAAUUAGAUCUUUAUAAAAUAAGGAAAGUUGGUAAGAAUAUCUUUAUAAAUAUUUUAGGUCAUGAGAGAAAGAAAUGGGAUAAAAAUGUGAUGAAGAGGUGAAAUAAGAGAGUUGAUUAGGAUAUAGAUGUGAAGAAGAAAGGGAUUCAAUAUAUAUAUAUCUUUCAAUUACCACAUUAAAACCCUGUGAACCUUUUAUAUGGUUUACUUUAUUUUUAUAUUCCUCCUUUAAUAUAUUUACAUUAAUGCUUCCAUUGGCACAACAAUAACGAAUUACAAAUACAAGCAACAAGUCCCAUGUUUUAUUACCAAAAGCAGGUAAAAUCCACCUAAUAUAUUACAAUAUAUUCAUCCAAUAUUUUAGACCAAUUCUUCACCAUAAAUAUCAUAAUGUGGCUUUUGUUCUUUCUUAAAUUUAAAUUGAAUUGUCUUAUAUCAAUUUGUUUGUGAUUUUUUCAUUAACUUCACUUUCAUUUGGUUAUCUUUGGUUUUUGAAAAGUAUUAAGGAAUUAAUUAACAAAAUAAUGUUAAGAAAAAUAAUUUUCUCUCUUUUGAUUUUGAUUUUGUAGUAGAAAAAUAUAAUUAAAAUUAUUUAAAAAGUAUGUAAUUUUAAAUUAUUUAAUAUUUAGAUAAAAAAAAUAAGUCUAAUGAGUUUAAAAUAACAUAUAAAAAUAAUUUAUUUAUUUUAAAUUUAUUUUUUAUUUUCCAUUAUGUUCUCUUUCUCUUUUACUUUUUCAUAUUUUUUCUUACGAAGAAUCAAACACAACCUCAUAUUAUAUGUCAAGUGUUUGUCUAUAUUUGAGCAAUGUUAGAUACGGCCAUGGAUUCAUCAAACUAAACUGAUUUUAAUAGAUACUUCACAAAUUGAUUUAUACACUAAAUCAUUGGAUAGCAAUGAUGCAUUGGAAUUAAACGUAGGAUGAAGCUCGAAGAACACUGUUUGUGUAACAACAUAUUUAUGAAAUUAUGCAAAGGAUGAGCUUCGGGGUAGUAGUACAAGGUCAUUAAUGGAGAGCCGUGUUAAACCUUGAUUGUGAUUGGAUUCCGUUAUCAGCAACAGCAACCUUGUUUGUAACCUUGAAAGUCAUUCUGUCCACAUCGAAACUCCAAUUUGACGUUUGUAAUUACCAUUCCUGGAGUGUUCCUUGAUUGAAAUUUAAAUAAUAAUUGCGGCCCACAAGGAAUAUUUUCGAUUCUGUGGGAAUUUGACAAGGUUUGUUAGAGAAGACUGGUGACAUGUUGACUUCAAUGGUUCAAAUAGGAGACGUAUGUGGAUUUGGGGGGUUUAAUUGAAACUGAGUCCCUAUGGCUUUUUAAUAUUUGCAUUGAGCAGUCUCCAUGUGACUUCCUAAUUCCCACCAACCCUCCUGUCCAUGCUGUGAAACUAAAUUGUAAUUUAUCAGCCUUUGUCAAUGGUUUCUAAAUUAAAGAUAUAGACCAUGCAUGUACUUUAAUAAAAGCAAAUCUAAAGUGUAGAUAGCAGCAAUGGUGACACCCAAUAUUCUCCAUAAAAUAGAAUUAGAAUAAGCAGUGUUACAUUGUUCAUGAUCACCUACAAGCAUACAAGAACUUCCAUGAAUAACUCAUAGCAAUUGCCAACAGGGCGUCGUAGAGACUCAUACAUAGAACACUAUCCACCCAGAGGAAAGGACAAGACCAGUGCGCUGCAGCUCUUAUUUUUCACAUGUAUACCACCACUCGUAAUAACCAAAUUCACUCAGUUGGGAUAGGUGGGAGAUGGUGGUUUGUGGGGUGGCUUGUGGGGAGGAGUUGGAGGAGGCUUUAUUUUCUGAGGCGGCUUGUAUGAGUGUGCAGGAGGAUGCCCGGGAGUGUGACCAUAAUGUGGUGGCUUCUCUCCCGUAGGUGGUUUGCCAAAUGGGCUUGGUGGCUUCUCUCCCUUAGGAGGUUUACCAAUUGGGGUUGGUGGCUUGUGUUCUGGGAGUGGUUUCUCUCCCUUGGUAGGUUUGCCAAUUGGGGUUGGCGGCUUAUGUUCUGGGAGUGGCUUCUCUCCCUUGGGAGGUUUGCUAAUUGGGGUUGGCGGCUUAUGUUCUGGGGGCGGCUUCUCUCCCUUGGGAGGUUUGCCAAUUGGAGUUGGCGGCUUAUGUUCUGGGAGUGGCUUUUCUCCCUUGGGAGGCUUGCCAAUUGGGGUUGGCGGCUUAUGUUCUGGGGGUGGCUUCUCUCCUUUAGGAGGUUUGCCAAUUGGAGUCGGCGGCUUAUGUUCUGGAAGUGGCUUUUUUCCCUUGGGAGGUUUGCCAAUUGGGGUUGGCGGCUUAUGUUCUGGGGGUGGCUUCUCUCCCUUGGGAGGUUUGCCAAUUGGAGUCGGCGGCUUAUGUUCUGGGAGUGGCUUCUCUCCCUUGGGAGGUUUUGUUGGUGGCUUGUGUUCUGGAGAUGGCUUCUCCCCUGGAGGCUUGUGCUCCGGAGGUGGCUUCUGAAAUGGCGGGGGCUUGGGGUAAUGAGCAAGAGAUGGAGUACUGGUGAGAACCACCAUUCCAAGCAACAAUACUAGCAAGCAUGUGGGAGACAUCUUUGAGUAGUUGUAGCUAAGAUGGCGCAACACUGUAGGCAUUGGGUGGCCUUUUAUAAAGGGCUGGACCCAACAGCCAUAUGACACGUGUCAUGAUGACAAAUGAAGUUGAGGGGAUCCAGAUGGGUCCUACUGAGUCGAAAACUUGCACUAAUUGAUCUGGUGAGAUGACUAUUUCUGUCCUUUUGCCCUUCUCGGCCACCCUGUGCUGUUUUCCUUUUGCACGAUUUUCGUUGCCAAACAAGCAAAUAAUAUUUCGCCAAGAAAGAGGAGAGUGAAUGUGGAAUGCAUCAAGUCCCAUCAAGGAUGGCAGAGAAGAAAUAGAAGAUUGCCCAACUGUGAUAAACAUAGCAUACACGUAGCACCAGGAACUUCAUUUACUUCCAUCUAAUGGAACAUAACAAUCUUCUAAAGUUUUUGCAUGAUUUUGUUAUAUGUCUCUUAGCCUAAAGUUGGAAAUGCGCAACAAAUUUUGUCACUUCUCUAUUUCCCACUGAUGAUGUUAAUUAGCCUUCAUAGAUAUCAUCCUUUCUACAAAGUGCUUCAUUUGUGUGUUAUUGUAAAGUGUAAGAAAAGUAAUUGAACAUGUUCUUUUUCCUUUCAUAGAUGACUUUUGAUGUGCAUUUUAAAAGCAGCGCUGUGAGUCGGUGACCUUGAUUCACACGGAAACUAAGGCUCCUAUAGGACCCACUUUUAGCUGGUUAGGGGUGAAGAAAAUAUCAACUUUUCAGAGUGAUUUAAGUCAAGGCCAAGCCUCACUGUGUCAUUACUCGUGUGAAUUUUAUAUGCACAUACAUACAUAAAUAAAGUAUGAGACCCAAAUAACACCUUCCCUUUACAAACUUAACCCCAGCCGCUCUCUUUCAAUUCUUUUCACACAAGGGUAUUGACUCUAUAAAGGUCAAGAAAAUCAUAAUUUCCUAGGGUUUACAAGGUAAUUGGCUUAAUGCUAAUGUGAAAACAUAAAAGAUAAUAGUAUAUUGUAAGCUAACGAAUAUUCUAUAGUUAUAAUUAUUUGUGAUGUGCAUAAAUAAAUCUUCAUAUAUAUAAUGGAACAAUGAAUAAAGAACCAAUGAAAAAAUACUAUAUAUCAUUGCUUGGCAUUUAAACCGUAUAUGCUGCUCUUUCUAGCUACUCCAUCCACUGAAAGACAACAAGGUAAUCCAUGUUAUAAUGAUAGAAGAUACUGUCUCUAGGCUUUUUGUGAUGAAAAAUAUAAGAUAUGGGUAGGGUUGACCCUUGUAUGUUUGUCCUAUAAACACUUCAAAGUAACAUAUUUUUCUUCUUUAGCAACUCAUAAUGAUGGGGUUCAUUUGCAUGUCACUGAGUUGAAAAGUUGGACAAUUGCCCAUGUCGCCUUCCUCCUAGAUUCCGUAGUUCACGGGAAGGUAACUCAAGUUUGACAUAUUUUGAAUUCUUUUCACUCGGACGUCUUCAUAACCUGACAAAACAAAAAUGAAAAACAGAGGAUUGGUAUAUUAUUCAUGGUAAGCCUCAAAUUAUAGUAGUAUGAGAAAGGAGAAAAAGAUUUUGGGAACUCCAAUCUGGAUAAUUCUCGUUUCUUCUCUUGAAUAAAAAUUUCACUUACCUAACUUCGUUUGGAGAAAUGGCAUAUUUUAAUUUUGUACGUCAUUGCUAAUAAAUGGAGCAAUUUAGCAUGUUUUGUGACUGAAACUGCAAAUGUCCAAUUGGCAUUUCUUCAUUUCCCACUUAGGAUCUGAUCUUGUAGACCAUAUAACGAUAUGUAUCUGUGCAAGCAUUGAAAACUAAUGUGAACUAUGAGGAGUUACAAGCCACUGGACUGUAGAGCGAGUGCCAAGAUUUAAAUCUUCAGGCUCUAUCUGGGUAAGGGGAGGAUAGCGACCUAACCUUUUACCAAAGGCUUAGAAUUUAGACUUUUGGAAAAAAAUUUCUCAUGUUUUGGCUGGAUUUCUUGUGCUUGGCGCAAAAAGGAGAUGGCCUCAAGAAAUAGCAGACUCACUUUUGUUUUCAGCCCUUAAUAAUUCUCCACUGCUUUCCAUAACUACAUGGGUUAUACAUGCAGUCUGCUGCAAUAUUCCAGUUAUAUUUAUUAUUUCAAAGAGGGUGAAUGACUUCACAUGCAAUAUGUUGCAGUAACAACCCAAAUUUUGGCACACCAUCUUAAGAAUAGAAAAGUAUAAUAAAAGAAAUCAAUCAGAGAAUCACUUUGCAUGCAGUUCAUAGAGUUCGCCCAAAAUGGAGCCACAUGUACGGACAACCCCACAAUAGACAAUCUUCUCUAUACAGUAAUAAAAUACAGAAAUGGUUAAUGAAGCUCUGUAUUUCCUUAUCAUAUAUGACCGGUUGAAAACUCAGCAAGUCUUCCUCAAUCACAGACAGUUGGAGUUGCUUCAUCAAAAUCAUGCCUUCAUUACUGGCUUCAUUUUGGUUUCAAUGUCUGUUCUACCCUUAAAUUGGGUCUCUGCUUACUACCGGGAUAUCCUUUAGCGUCCUGCAAUUCUACUAGAUUAAAGAGAAUGACUUAAUUCUGCAUUCUGCCGUCCCUAGUCCAAGUGGUACUAGAAUUGAUGUUUCCUUUAGUGUCCUUUCUUCAUACUUUCAGGUUCUUCCCUUGUUUCAAUAAUGCUGUUUUCCUUCAUGUUUAACCUCUGUUGAACCACUUAAAACAACACAAUUUGCACACCAAUGUUUCUUUACAGAAAAGACUGUUUGCAAAAAUGCACAUGUUAUAAGGUUAAUGGAAGAAUUAAUUUGGGGAUAAGGGACUAGGAUUGGGCCAAUGAAGUUUGGUGUUAAAUUUUGAUUAUGAUUGCUUUUCAUUAUCAGGUACCUUAUAUUUGCUGAUGCUAUCUGGAACUAAAUUCAAAUCAGACAUUAUCCGAUUACUAACAGGACAUAUCAUGUCCCUCUGCAGAGUUUCUAAACUAACAUGUAUCGAAAUGUGGCCCCAAAAGGAAGGCUAGGAAGAUGGAGGAUUUUGUAGGAAUCGACCAGAAUCAGAUGGAAGAGAGAUAGUCCUGUUGACUUUAAUGGUUGUGAUAGGAACAUGCAUCAUUAUAUGAGAAGUUGCAUGAAUUUAUGUAUCCUGUUAUCGUUCCUUGACGAUUUCCCAAUGCAAUUUCACUGUCCACAAGACUAACCUCUCCAUGCAGUCAAAUGAAUUGUAAUUUCUCUAUUGGUACCAGUAGUACAUUUCAUACCAAACAUAUAGUAAAUAUAAAAUAUAAAUAGAUCAAGGAAAUCUGAAUUGUAGAUAGCACUGCAAGUAACACUCAAUAUUCUCUAUAUAUAAUAAAAUAAACAGUGUCACAAUACUCAUCACCCAGUGGCAAGGGAGAAAAACCUACAAUGAGUACUCAAAUCACCAUUCUCAAACAGAAACAUAGCAGUGACUGAUACAUAGAACCUAUAUGCUCACAGGGAAAGAAUAAGAUGACCAGUGCACAGCGGGCAGCAGCUCUUAUUUUACGUACAACUCAAAUCCCAAACUAACCAAAGUCGCUCAGUUGGGAUGGGUGGGAGAUGGUGGUUUGUGGGAUGGCUUCUGGGUAGGAGCUGGUGGCUUCUGUCCCUUUGGUGGUUUGCCUAAUGAGCUUGGUGGCUUGUGCUCCGGGAGUUGUUUCUCUCCCUCGAGUAGGUUUCGAGUCUUGUCAGAUGGCUUGUGUUCUGGUGGUGGCUUCUCUCCCUGGGGUGGUUUGCCGAAUGGGCUUGGUGGCUUGUGUUCGGGGAGUGGCUUCUCUCCCUGGAGAAGGUUACGAGUUUUGUCAUAUGGCUUUUGUUCUGGUGGUGGCUUCUCUCCCUGGGGUGGUUUGCCGAAUGGGCUUGGUGGCUUGUGUUCGGGGAGUGGCUUCUCUCCCUGGAGAAGGUUACGAGUUUUGUCAGAUGGCUUGUGUUCUGGUGGUGGCUUCUCUCCCUGGGGUGGUUUGCCGAAUGGGCUUGGUGGCUUGUGUUCGGGGAGUGGCUUCUCUCCCUGGAGAAGGUUACGAGUUUUGUCAGAUGGCUUUUGUUCUGGUGGCGGCUUCUCUCCCUGGGGUGGUUUGCCAAAUGGGCUUGGUGGCUUGUGUUCGGGAACUGGCUUCUCUCCCUUGGGAGGUUCAGUUGGUGGCUGCUGUUCCGUAGGUGGUUUCUUCACCGGCGGCUUGUGCUCCGGAAGCGGCUUCUCUACCUGGAGAAGCUUACGAGUUUUGUCCGAUGGCUUGUGUUGUGGUGGUGGCUUCUCUCCCUGGGGUGGUUUGCCAAAUGGAGUUGGUGGCUUGUGUUCGGGGAGUGGCUUCUCUCCAUUGGGAGGUUUAGUUGGUGAUUGGUGUUCCGUAGGUGGUUUCUGAAGUGGGGGAUGCUUGGGGUAGUCAGCAAGAGACGAGGUAGUGAGAACCACCAGUCCCAGCAGCAACACUAGCAAGCAUGUGGAAGACAUCUUUGAGUUCAGGCUGAGAUCUGUGCAAGGAUAACAGAAUUAGGUGGCCUUUUAUAGAGGCCUGGACCCAACACCCAUAUGACACGUGUCAUGCACUCAUGGUGACACAUAAUUCUAUGGGACCAUUUGGGUCCUACAGAAGUUGCAAAGUUGGACUACUGAGGUGUGAUCACAACUUUUGUCCUUAUUGCUUUCUCUGCGGCCAUUGCACGAUUUCCUUUAGCAUCAUUUUCUUGGCUAAAUAAGCGUAUUAUAUUUGUGGCAGACCGUCCACGUGUCAUAAACAGAUAUAUUAUAAUAAUGUAGUAUGCUUUUCUCCAAUGGAACAUGACACUCUUCUAAGUCUUGUUUUAAAUAUUGUGCAGGAUUACUUUAUACGUUGCAGUUCCAAGUCAAAAUUGGUGGGCAAACGUUGGCCUUUUUUCAUUUCACCUAAGAUUAAUGCUCACCUGGGAUAGGCACUACAUGACUUAUCUGCUCUUUUACUGUAAAGUUGCUUUGUGUAUGAGAUACACCUCCCCUGCACACCCUCAACAUUCGUUGCUCUGUUUUCCUUGUGUCCAGACGAGGAUAUUAAUUGGAGGCUGACAAAACGACUGCUAGCCCAGGAUUUACAAGGUCCUGGUUUGAGGCUUCGGUGAAAGUAUUUUUGAAAAGACACACAUAGAGAUAGUGCGUUUGGUGCAAUGCAGCACUGUGAGCCAUUCUGACGCGUUCUUAAUUUCAAAACUAAUGAAUGCUUCAAAAUUUUAAGAAGUGACAUUUCCAAAUAUUUGAGUUCGUUUAAUUGAACAUUGGAUAACUAGUGAUCAUAGAUUAUUAUCUGUGCUUGGCACUAUAAGAGGGUAUAUGCUUCUUUUUCUGGCCCCUCCUUCAAGGGAGGAGGGACAAUGUGAUCUGUAACGUUAGAAGCUAUUCCAUGUCAUCUUUGGGCUCAGUUCAAAACUAAAAGAUAAUGGGGGGGGGGGGGGGGGGCAUAUCAUUUUAUAUUUCUUCUAGAAGGUUUGUUCUGGAAAUAUUUCACAGGAGCAUAUCUUUUUCUUCUAUUACGUCAUCCGCAGCCUCCAAUAGGUCGGUUAACAAGCCACCGAGUUGAAAAGUUGGAAAAAUGGGAACACAGCCCGCCUCUUGUAUUCAGUAGUUAAAUAAAAGGUCACUAGAAGUGAGAUCCCUUUUGGCGUCUUGAUUUUCAAUCCAGCACCUCUGUGACCUGACAAACCAAAAAAACUAAAAAAUAAAAAACAGUACGUGGGUUGGUGUUAAGCAUCAAGACAUGUUAAUGAAAGAAGGUAGAGAAUAGGAUAUUGAAAUCCCAAUCCUGAUAACAUGAUUUUCUUUGCUAACAACCAUAUUAUAUUUUAUCAAGAAAGAGUAAUGCAUGUGGCGUCCAUCAAGACCCAUUAGAGUUCCGCUAAAGCUAUAGUUCUGUCAACGUUAUCAUUUACGUUUCCUCUAGAUAAUGGCAUUUUCCUCUAAAGCUCUUGCACCAUUAGGCUUCAAGUCAAAAUUUCACAUGUGAACUUUGGAAAUUUUCUCCAUUUGCCCCUAAGGAUACAGUUAGAAUUGACUUAAAAUCCUGAUUGAUAUGUACUAUUAACCAAAGAAUAUUGUAUAUAAUAAUUGAAAUAUUGUUGAUUCAUCGUGGAAAUACAUUUUGUAAGGAAAGUUGUUGAGAAUUUAGUAUGCUAUAUGGAGAAAAAAGUCAUGACUUAAGGUUGUGUAUGUAUAUUCUAUAUCAAAUAUUAGGUAGGAAUGUGGGAAAGAGCAGAGUGUAAUGAUAAGAAACAAAGAAAUAUAAGAUAUUCUUGAAAGUGGAAAAUAUAAAAUGGCUAACGAGUCAAAUUUAUGAUGCGUAAGGGGGAUCAUGUCACAUAAGAAAACCAUGGCAUACUAAAGACGUACGUGUGGUAUGGAGUAAUAAUUUUGUUAAAAUAAGUUUCUUGUUGGAGUACAUUAGGUGACUAUUCAUAACGUAUCAAAUUAAAGAGUCAAGUGCAUCAAUGAAGGCAUAUGUAGAAAAUUUGUUUGUGACAUGUACCAUAAAGAUAAGAUUGACUUGAUAGAAUUUAGUCUAAGUAGGAGUUGUUAAAGGUGUCUUAAAUUUCUAAUUGAUGUAUAUUUUUUUCUAAAAAAAUAUUAUAUAGAUAUUUUAAUAAAUGAUUAAUUCUUUGUAAAAAUACUUACAUAAUAAAAAACAUCAUUAAAAAUAUCUUUAUAAAUAUUUUAAGUUACAAGAAGGAAAAAAACCACUGUGAGAUAAUGAUGAACAUGCAACACUGUACCAAGUAAAUAAAAAUGUGAUAAAAAAAAAAGAGAAACACUCGAUAAAGGAAGGCUCGUAUAUAAAGAGUAAUAUUUUUAAUCAUAUGAUAGAAUGAUUUUCUCUCAUUCAUGAAUAUAGGCAAGAUUGGGGAACCAUUAUAAAAUUUUGUACACCUCGUGUAAAUUGAUGUUUGUCUUCAUAUUUUACACCAACAAAUGACAUUGAAGUUGUCAUUGAUAAAAGGGAAAAGGCAUGCCUCCACACCAUGUGCUUGAUUCGAAUGGUUCAAGUUUGAAGAAUUUUCUCCGGAAGAUCUAAAACAUUUUCGCCUUUAAAUUUCAUUUGAUUAUUAAUAUCCGAAAAAAUAGUUAAAUACUCUUUCUAUUUUUGAGUUGUUGAAUUUUUUGAAAGUUUUUAUAUUUGUUAUCAAGAAUUUCUAUUUUAUUAAGGGUGAAUAUUUAUAAAUAAGAUAUUAUAUAAUAUUUGGAUAAGAGAGAAUGGUGGAAUAUAAUAAAGUUUUAAUCCUUCCCAAUUUUGAACCUUUUUUUUUUUUUUUGAUAUAAUCGCCUUUCUCUUGCAAUCCUAUUAUCAGGUACCUUAUAUUUGCUGAUGCUAUCUGGAACUAAAUUCCAAUCAGGCAUUGUCCAAUUACUAAUAGGACAGAUCAUAUCUCUCUGUUUCUAAACUAACAUGUAUCGUAAUGUGACCUCAUAAGGAAGGCUAGGAAGAUGGAGGAUUUUGUGGGAAGCGACCAGAAUCAGAUGGAAGAGAGAUAGCCCUGUUGACCUAAUGGCUGUAAUAGGAGAAGCGUGUGGUUUUAUGGGACUUAACUGAUACUAAACCUGUAUGAUGCUUGGAGUGGUGUUUCUUUCAUUUUGUUAAGAAAAUAUGGCAGCAUACAUGCUUUCAACUGAGUGCAUCAGAGCAUCCAUAACAGAUGGUCUGCAACCCUAGGUGCAUGCCACUUUCUGACUGAUAAUGAAAUUGUCAGGUACCUGGCCUUGACUAAGCUCAACAGCAUCACAUAAAGAGAAGCUUUCAUACUUAGAUUACUGUUUAAAGUUUUUGCUUAUUUGAUUUCUUAAUGCCAUUAUGACAUUAUUGAUUCAAUUCUGCUUCCGAUUUUCGAAGUUCUGGGCAUCUACUGAUUGCAUCAUUAUAUGAGAAGUUGCAUGAGUUUAUGUAUCCUGUUAUUGUUCCUUUGCGAUUUCACUGCUCACGGGACUAACCUCUCCAUUCAGUCGAAAUGAAUUGUAAUUUCUUUACUGGUAGCAGUAGUACUUUUCAUAGCAAAGAUAAUAGAAAAUAUGAAAUAUAAAUAGAAGGAAAUCUGGAUUGUAGAUAGCACCAUAAGUAACACUCAAUAUUCACUACAUAAUAAAUAGACAGUGUUACAUAGGUAGAGAAACCUACAAUGAGUACUCAUCACCAUUCUCAAACAGAAACAUAGCAGCGACUUAUACAUAGAACCUAUAGGCUCGCAGGGAAAGAGUAACAUGAUAAGUUCACAGCGGGUAGCAGCUCUUAUUUUACGUAUUACUCAAAAUCUCAAACUAACCAAAGUCACUCAGUUGGGAUGGGUAGGAGAUGGUGGUUUGUGGGGUGGCUUCUGGGUAGGAGCUGGUGGCUUCUUUGUUGGAGUUGAAGGAGGCAUAUUCUUCUGAGGUGGCUUGUAUGACUCUUCGGCACUCUCUGCAGGAGGGUGCCCAGGGUUGUGACCAGAAGGAGGUGGCUUCUGUCCCUUUGGUGGUUUGCCUAAUGGGCUUGGUGGCUUGUGCUCCGGGAGUUGUUUCUCUCCCUCGAGUAGGUUUCGAGUUUUGUCAGAUGGCUUGUGUUCUGGUGGUGGCUUCUCUCCCUGGGGUGGUUUGCCGAAUGGGCUUGGUGGCUUGUGUUCGGGGAGUGGCUUCUCUCCCUGGAGAAGGUUACGAGUUUUGUCAGAUGGCUUUUGUUCUGGUGGCGGCUUCUCUCCCUGGGGUGGUUUGCCAAAUGGGCUUGGUGGCUUGUGUUCGGGAACUGGCUUCUCUCCCUUGGGAGGUUCAUUUGGUGGCUGGUGUUCCGUAGGUGGUUCCUUCACCGGCGGCUUGUGCUCCGGAAGCGGCUUCUCUACCUGGAGAAGCUUACGAGUUUUGUCAGAUGGCUUGUGUUGUGGUGGUGGCUUCUCUCCCGGGGGUGGUUUGCCAAAUGGACUUGGUGGCUUGUGUUCGGGGAGUGGCUUCUCUCCAUGGGGAGGUUUAGUUGGUGGUUGGUGUUGCGUAGGUGGUUUCUGAAGUGGGGGAUGCUUGGGGUAGUCAGCAAUAGACGAGGUAGUGAGAACCACCAGUCCCAACAGCAACACUAGCAAGGAUGUUGAAGACAUCUUUGAGUUCAGGCUGAGAUCUGUGCAAGGAUAAAAGAUUUAGGUGGCCUUUUAUAGAGGGCUGGACCCAACACCCAUAUGACACGUGUCAUGCACUCAUGGUGACACAUAAUUCUAUGGGACCAUUUGGGUCCUACAGAAGUUGCAAAGUUGGACUAUUGAGGUGUGAUCACAACUUUUGUCCUACUUGCUUUCUCUGCGGCCAUUGCACGAUUUCCUUUAGCAUCAUUUUCUUGUCUAAAUAAGCGUAUUAUAUUUGUGGCAGACCGUCCACGUGUCAUAAACAGAUAUAUUAUAAUAAUGUAGUAUGCUUUUCUUCAACGGAACUUGACACUCUUCUAAGUCUUGUUUUAAAUACUGUGCAGGAUUACGUCAUAAGUUGCUUGUUCCAAGUCAAAAUUGGUGGGCAAACGUUGGCCUUUUUUCAUUUUCCCUAAUAUUAAUGCUCACCUGGGAUAGGCACUACAUGAUUUAUCUGCUCUUUUACUGUGAAGUUGCUUUGUGCAUGAGUUACACCUCCCCUGCACACCCUCAACAUUUGUUGCUCUGUUUUUCUUGUGUCCAGACGAGGAUAUUAAUUGGAGGCUGACAAAACGACUGCUAGCCAAGGAUUUACAAGGUCCUGGUUUGAGGCUUUCACGAAAGUAUUUUUGAAAAGAUACACAUAGAGAUUGCGCGUUCGGUGCAAUGCAACAAUGUGAGCCAUUCUGAAGUCUUAAAUUUCAGAUUAAUGAAUGCUACAAAAUUCUAAGAAGGGCCGUUUCCAAAUAUUUGAGUUCAUUCAUCCGAACAUCGGGUAUAUGCUUCUUUCUCUAGCCCCUCCUUGAAGGGAGGAGGGACAAUGUGAUCUGUAUCGUUAGAAGCUAUUCCAUGUCGUCAUCUUUGGGCUCAGUUCAAUACUAAAAGAUAUGGGCGGGGCCCUUAUCAUUUUAUAUUUCUUCUAGAAGGUUUAUUCUGGAAAUCUUUCACAGAAACAUAUCUUUUUCUUCUCUACGUGAUCCGUGGUUUGAAAGUUGGAAAAAUGGGUCCGUUAACAAGCCACCGAGUUGAAAAGUUGGAAAAAUGGCAACACCGCCAACCUCUUGUAUUCGAUAGUUAAAUAAAAGGUCACUGGAAGUGAGAUCCCUUUUGGCCUCUUGAUUUUCAUUCCAGCAUCUCUAUGGCCUGAUAAAUUAAAAAACUAAAAAAAAAGACAGUACGUGGGUUGGUGUUAAGCAUCAAGAGUCAAGACAUGAUAAUGGAGAGAAAGGAUAUUCAAAUUCCAGUUCUGACAACAUGAUUUUCUUUGCUGAACUACCAUAUUAUAUUUGAUCAAGAAAGAGUAGUGCAUGUGGCCAGGAUCAAGACAUACAUUAAUUUCCACAUGAUGAAGACAGUUUCUGAGAGUUUCUUCUAAAGCUCUUGCGCGAGUAGGCUUCAAGUCAAAAUCUCCCAUGUAAACACUGGUUUUUCUUUCAUUGCCACUAAGGAUGCAGUUAAUAUUGACUUAAGAUCCUACGUGAUAUAUUUUUUUAAAAGAGCUAUAUUGUAGAUAAUAUUUGAAAUAAUGUUGAUUCGUUGUGGAAAUAUAUUUGUAAGGAAAGUUGUUGACAAUUUAAUAUAGUAUAAGAAGAAAAAAGUUAUCAACUAGCUAGAGAUGAGUAUGUAAAGUGAGGCUCACGAUUCAACGCGUAAAUAUAAGAUAUUUUAAGGCUCAAUAGUUAUGAUAUCUAUUUUAUUUUUUGUAUCUCAUAUAUUCAAAGAUAUAGUAAAAUGAUUUUACAUAUAUAUAUAUAUAUAUAUAUGAACAUAACUAUUUGUGCCAAUUGAUUUUUAUCUUUAUUUUGUAUAUUAGUAAUUAUAUUAAAGUUUUUACUAAUAUAAUAACUAAUAUAAAAGCUUUUUCUAAAAGAGUCAACAGAGCAAAACACUUAUUAUAAAAAAUAAUUUUGAUUGAAGGUGGAGUCAAUUAUUCUUUAUUUAACAUGUAAUGCAUACGGCGUGUACUUCAUAACUAAAGUAUAUAAGUGUAACAUCUCUUAUAUAUUCUCAUUCAAUCUCGAAAGUGGAAAUUUUAAAAAGAUUAAACGGUUCAAAUUUGUCGUGCAUAAAGGGGAUCAUGUCACAUAAGCAAACCAUGGCAUACCAAAGACAUAGGUAUGGACUAAGAAUUUUUUUCAAAUAAGUUUCUUAUUAGGGUACAUUAAUAGGUGACUUUUUAUGACAUAUCAAAGGAGUCAAGUGCACCAAUAAAAACAUAUAUAGAAAAUUCAUGCAUGACAUGUAUCACUAAGAGAAGAUUGACUUGAUAGAGUUUAAUCCAAAUAGGAGAUUGUUAAAAGGUGUCUCAAAUUCUUGAUUGAUAUAUAUUUUUUUUAUUAAAAAGGUUAUUAUAUAGAUAUUUCAAUAGACUAUUAAUUCUUUGUAAAAAUAGUUAUAUAAUGAGGAUGGUGAUUAAAAAUAUCUCUAUCAAUAUUUUGGAUUAUAAAAAGAAAAAAAAUGAGAUAAUGAUAAACAUAUAAAACUUGUACAAGUAGAUAAAGAUGUGAUGAAAGACACUUGAUGAAUGAAGGCUUUGUAUUUCAAGAUAUAAAUAUAUGGAGCAAAACUCUUAAUUAUAUGAUCAAAUGAUUCUCUCAUAUUCAUGAAUAUAAGCAGGAUUGGGGAACCAUGAUAGAAUCUUAUAUGCCUCUCCAUGUAGAGUGAUCGAUGUUUAUCUUCAUAUUUUACACCAGUGAAUGACAUUGAAACUCUUAUUGAUAAAAGGGAAAAGGCAUGGCCUCCACCCCAAGAAAAACAAGUAACCUCGGUUUAAAUCACUAGUCUACACCCCGAAGAGAGAACUAGCCAAACCUACUAAAAGAGAAACUUAACAAUUUAGAAAGAAACCGUCCAUGAUAAAGGGCCCCUAAAGGUCCAAUUCAGUGAGGUCGUGAACAAAAACACUUUCAUGUCAAAACAGAGAUAGGUACCACCAAAAUGUAAAGGGAAAGAUGUAAACCACGUCGAACUUUGGUAAUCAAUGGUAAAGAUAGCAUGAUAGCUAAAAGCACUAAAGCUGUGCUUGGUAUGCAAAAAUGAAAAGUGGAAAUCAGCGUCUUAUUCUUUUUCACCUUUAUUCACAUAUUAGGAUAACUAAUAUCUAAUGUUUUUUAUGUCUCAAAUUCUAUUCCAUGUUAUGGUAAACUUUCAUCUUGUUUAGAUCACUUUUGUCUGGUUUGGGCUCAAGACGAUAAGCCUAUAGAGACUUCAUAUUGGGUUGAAUCGAUGCCCUUGAUCUGAUCUGUUCGUUAGAAAAAUCUGAAUUAUUAUAAGCAUUUAGAUAAAAAAUAAAUAAAUGUGAAACACAAACUACUCCCUGCACAACCUUGACCCUAGUUACUCAGUUUCACUGCUCACAGGACUAACCUCUCCAUUCAGUCGAAAUGAAUUGUAACAAGAAGAUUUUUGACAGGAGGACGGUAGUUUAAAAUAAUAAUUUCUAAAGUACUUUUGUGAAAAAAAAUAAUUCCAAACGUGGAUUUUAUCAAGUAAAAAGAAAAAAAAAAGUUAUUUUCUUUUAAAAUCUGUUCUUCUAAAGAUGAUAUAUAUACCAAAAAAAAAAAUUGUUUUCUGAAGGUAAAAUUUUUAAAAUUCAUUUUUAAAAAAAUUUACACACUAAAAUUAUCUUUUCAAGAGAAGAUUUUUUUAAUUUUAAAUAAUUAUUAAUUUAUAAUUAAUUUGUUAUUAAUUAUUUAUUAAUUUUUUUAUUUGAAAAAUGCAUUUAUAAAAAACAAAUUUGUUAUUAAUUUAUUAAAUAAUUUUUACAAAAUAAAUAAUUUUUUUUUAUUUUAAUUUUAAAAUUAAUUUUAUUAUAUAAAUUUUAAAAUUAAAAAUAUUAAUAUUUAAUUUAAAAUUUAACUAUAAAAGGAAUAAAAUAUAGAAAAAUAAAUUAAUUUAUUAUUCAAUAAAUUAAUUUUCAAUAAAAUUUUCAGCAUUAAGAGAUAAAUUUUUAAGUAUUAAUCAAUUUAAAAAGAAAUAAUGAUCAUUUGUAUAUUAAGAUAUUUUAUUUAGUAAUUAUGAAUGAUAAACAACUAAAGUAAUUUGAAAAAAUAAUAAAAUAUUUAAAAAAUAAUAAUUUAAUACACGUAAAAUUAGAAAUGAUUAACUAUUUUUUAUUAAGAAAAAAUUGAGGAAAUAUUUUGUUAUUUAAAAUUUUUUAUUUGUUUUCAAUUUUUAAUGUUAUAGGUUUCAAGAAAAUUGAUCAAAUAAAAAUUAAGAAGUCAUUUUUUCAAAAACUAUAUAUCUAAAUAAAAGCCUUGAAAUUCAAAUACACAAUAUCAUAAAUAUAAACACCAAGUCAAUCCUUAAUUAUCAAAUGUUUUUAAUAUUAAAGAAUCAAAAUCACCUACUAUCAUGAUAAUAAGAAAACCAAUAAUAUUGUUCAUAUAAAUACUAAAAAGCUAACAAAUAUCCCAAACAAUUAAUAAAGUAUCAAACAUGAUAAAAAGUCAAUUAUUAUCAUGAAUGCAAAAAAUCAAUAAUUUUGUUUAUAUGAACCAUCAACAAAGAAAAAAAAAAUCAAUAUCUAAAUAUUAAACAUAAUUUAUAUUUUUAUAAAUAUUAUUGUUGAUAAAUAUCUUAACAAUUAUAAUUUUAGUAAAUAAAAUUAAUUAAUUUUAGUUUAAGAAUUAUUUUUUUAUACUUUCGUAUUCUUAUCAAAAAUCCCCAUUUUGCAUGUCUCCUUUGGCAUGACUUUCUUACCUAAACAAGCAUAUAUAUAUAUAUAUAUAUAUAAAAUAUUUGGUUAAGAAAGAGUACUAAAGUUUAUAUGGCACACAUCAAGAUAGAAACAGAAGUGGAAGAUAAUCCAAAUGUAUGAACAGAUAUAUUAUAUCCAUGUAGUGGUAGUGACUUCAUUAUUUACUUUUAUCUAAUGGAGCAUGACACACUUCUUCUGAAUAUUUUGCACGAUUAUGUUAUGUGUCAGCUUGUUCUAAGUCAAAACUAGUGAUAAAAAUCGGUUUUUUUUGCAUUUCCUUCAUGAAGAUGGCACCUGGAUGGGGCACUACAUGAGUGGCAUAGCACGAAGUGAUUUAUCUGCUCCCUUUACUAUAAAGUGCUUUGUGUAUAAGUUACACCUCCCCUGCACUGCCUCAACAUUUGUUGUUCUGUCUUCCGUCUGUCCAAACGAGGACAAACGUAUGUUGUAGGUUGACAAAACCACAGCUAGCCUAGGAUUUGCAAGGAUCUAGUUUGAUUCGUAUGCAAAAGGAUUGGUGAAAAGAUUCACAAAGAUAAUGCUUUUUGCAAUGCAAUCUUGUUCUAAUUCAACAGUGUGGACCAUUUUCAUGUAAUGCUUCAACUAGAUGUCAGUUUCAUGAAUUUUUGUUCAUCUAAUUGAUCACUGGAUAGGCCAUAACCCGAAGAAAUUCAAAAUUCCCUUCAGUACUGUAGCUAAGGAAAGAUCCCUAUCUACCACUGGGAUUUUAAGAGGGUAAAAAUGUAGGUGGGUGCCUAUAUCAUUUGCACUUCACUAUAGGCCUCUUUGGGAAGAUUUCUUCUGAAGACAUUUCAAAGAAACAUAUUUUUCUCUUCUCUCCGUAAACGGCAGCUGCAAGUCAGUCCAUUCACAGGCCACCGAGUUGAAAAGGCUGGAAAAUUGGCCAAAGCACCCGCCUCCUGGAUUCCAUGGGUAAGGAAAAGGUCACUGGAGGUGUGAUCCCUGUUGGCCUCUUGAUUUCCAUUCCGCCAUCUAUAUGACCUGAUAACCCAAAAACACAGAAGGAAAACGUCACCUGGGUUCAUAGUAAGCAUCAAGUCAUGAUAGAGACCAGACAACAUGACCAACAAAGAGUAGCGAAUGGGGCCAACAUCAAGCCCCAUUACGGUUAGAAGAUGGAAGAAGUAGAAGACAAUCCAAUUCUGAUAGAUUCGGGCAAAUGUAGUGCUGUUCAAACUUAAUCAUUUACUAUUUCUUCAUGAAUCACGGCAUUUUUCUUCUGAAAAUUUUCCAAGAUUAGGCCUCUGAAGAAAAAUUUCAUAUGUAAAUUGGUAUAUUAAGGAAAAGGCGUUACAAAGGUGAAAAAAAACCAAUCAAAUCUUAUAUAUGACAUCUCAAAAAUAUGAACUUGCUAUAAAUAUUUAAAAUCAAAAUCUUGCACAUCACCUCGUAGUACGAACUUGCUAUAAAACUUGAAAAUCAAGAAGAAAGGGGCAGUAUUGGACGAGACUACUUAGCACAUAUUAUUAUGAUGUUUUUUCAUUUUCUUAAUGUUGUUUUUAUGUCUUAAAUUCUAUUAUUCUAUGUUACGGUAAACAUUCAUCUUGUUUGUGUGGAAUAGGAUCACUUUUCUCUGGGUUGAGUCGAUGCCCUUAGUUAAUUUGUUCAUUUGAAUAAACUAAAUUAUUAUAAGUAUUUAGAUAAGAAAAACGUGAUACAUAAAUUACGCCUCUCGGCACAACUUCAACACUGGUUACUCUGUUUCAGUUUCCUCACACAAGAUUAUUGGUUCUAGGGUUUAUUUGGUUUUGGUUUGAUUCUAAUUGCUAAACUUUCUCAAGGAAGAUGUUAUAUAGGGAGUGAGAAACCUUCACUCUUGGCUACCUCCAAGAGAAGAGCAAGUGGUCUGAAUCAAAGAUAUACUGCUCACUUUUUCUUCUUCUAAGGACAGCUAUGACCUUGCUUUAAGGUUCGAAUAGCCUAAUGCAACCUCCCAUUUCUCAAGUCAGCUGAUGAUGUAAGUCACCUUGGCUUUCCACAUUCAUACGGUGAGGACGUUUGUGGGUGUAAUUCUCUUAACAGUUUUCAUUUUAUAUGGAAAAAUUCAUAAUUAAGGGUAAUUACUGAUUCCAUUUGACAGUGACCAAGUUUAAAAUAUUAAUUCAUAUAUUAAAUGCACAUUAAAAAAUCAUGGAAUAAAUAUAUUUACUAAUAUAUAGUUCUUUUGCCAUGUUCUGUCACAGAAGCAUCGAACUUUCCCUAGAAAUUUUUGCAUGGUAUUCUACUUAUGAUUUUGAAAACUCUAGGCACCUGAGGCCACUAAUUGCAUGGUUGGAUGAGGAGCUGCAUGAGAUUAUGUAUCGUGUUGUUCCUUAACUACAAAUAUCAGUUUUAAGUAGCAUCUCCAUGUGACAUUUUCCUGAUGCAAUUUCGCUGUCCACCAACAAAUUUCACCAUGCAGCAAGAUGAAUUGUAAUUUCUUUAUUGUUAUCAACAGCUUUAAUUAAUCUUGAUAUAUAUAUAUAACUUAGUAGAAGUAUAUUAAUCUAGAUUGUAGUUGCACUAAGAUAAUAGGCAAUAUUAUAACAGUGCCACAAUGCUCAUCGCCAAAUAGAAAGGUAGAAAAACUACAAUGAGUAACUCACAACAUUCUCAAACAGGACAUAGCGGCGACUGAUACAUAGAACACUAUUGGCACUCAGGAAAUGAUAAGAUCAGUGCCCAGCAGGCAGCACGUCUUAUUUUACAUACUACUUAAAACUAACCAAAGUCAUUCAGUUGGGAUGGGUGGGAGAUGGUGGUUUGUGCGGUGGCUUUUGGGUAGUUGGUGGCUUCUUUCCUGGAACUGAUGGUUUUUUUGUUGGAGUUGAAGGAGGCUUAAUCGUCUGAGGUGGCUUGUAUGAGUCUUCAGCACUCUCUGCGGGAGGGUGCCCAGGGUUGUGACCAUAAUGGGGUGGCUUCUCUCCCUUAGUUGGUUUGCCAAGUGGGCUGGCUGGCUUGUGCUCCGGGAGCGGCUUCUCUCCCUUAGGUGGUUUGCCAAAUGGGCUUGCUGGCUUGUGCUCUGGGAGCGGCUUCUCUCCCUCAAGAAGUUUACGGGUUUUGUCAGAUGGCUUGUGUUCUGGUGGUGGCUUCUCUCCUUGGGGUGGUUUGCCAAAUGGACUUGGUGGCUUGUGUUCGGGGAGUGGCUCCUCUCCCUUGGGAGGUUUAGUUGGUGGCUGGUGUUCCAUAGGUGGUUUCUCAACCGGGGGCUUGUUCUCCGUUGGUGGUUUAUGAACUGGGGGAUGCUUGGGGUAGUCAGCAAGAGACGGGGUGGUGAGAACCACCAGUCCCAGCAGCAACACUAGCAAGUAUGUGGAAGAGUACAUCUUUGAGUUCAGGCUGAGAUUUGUGCGAGACUUGAAGAAUUAGGUGGCCUUUUAUAGCUGGCUGCACCCAACACUCACAUGACACGUAUCAUGGUGACACAUGUGCUAUGGGUCCAUUUGGGUCCUACAGAAGCUGAAAACUUUUGACUAUUGAGGUGUGGUCACAACUUUUGUCCCUAUUGCUUUCUCCGCAACCGUUUUACAUGUUUCCUUUGGCAUAAUUUUCUAAGCUAAACAAGCAUAUAUCAUAUUUGGUUAAGAAAGAGUAAAGUGUAUAUGGCACACAUCAAGGAAGAGAAACAGAAAAAGUGGGAGACAAUCAAUUGUGAUAAACAGAUAUAUUAUAUUCAUGUAGUACUAGUGACUUUAUCAUUUACUUUUAUCCAAUAGAUCAUCACUCUUUCUUCUAAAUAUUUUGGAGGAUAAUGGUACAUGUUGCUUGUUUCCAAGUCAAAAUUGGUGGCAAAAAUCGGCAUGAUACGAAAGGAUUGGUGAAAAGAUUCACAUAGAUGGUGCUUUGUGCAAUGCAGUCUUGCUCUAAUUCAACAGAGUGGACCAUGGUGAUGUAUUUUAAAUUUUAAAUUUUAAAUUAAUGCAUGCUUCAAAGUUUUAACUAGAUGUCACUUCCAUGGAUUUUUGUUCAUUUAAUUGAGCACAGGAUAGGCUAUCAAACUUGAAGUAAUAUAAAAAUCCCUUCAUUACUGUAACUAAUGAAAGAUCAUUAUCUGCGCUUGGUAUUUUGCCAAGGUAUUUGCUGCUCUUUCUAGCCCUGUCUUACAGUUAAGGACAAUGUGAUCUAGUUAACCUUAGAAGCUAUUCCAUGUCAGAUACAAGAGAUCAAGCACAUUAUCUUUGGGCUCAGUUCAAAACUAUAAUAUAUGGGUGGGGUGGAGGCCCAUAUCAUUUGCAUAUCACCACUAUUGGUUUAGUUUGGAAGGUUUCUUCUGGAAGAUUGCUGCUUUCUGGAAUCAUUUCAAAGAAAUAUAUCUUUUUGUUCUCUUGGUGACGAGCAGCGGCAAUCAAGUCUGUUGACAAACAACCGAGUUGAAAAGUUUGAAAAUUGGUCACAGCCCACGUCCAUGGUUAAGGAAAAGGUCACUGGAAGUGAUCCCUUCUGGGCCUCUUGAUUUCCAUUCUGACAUCUAUAUGACCUGAUAAAUAGAAAGAAAAAAAAACAGAAGAAAAGCGGCACCCGGGUUCAUAGUAAGCAUCAAGACAGGAUACUGAAAGAAGGGAGAAAGGAGAUUGCAAGUCCAAUCCUGAUAAAAUGAUCAACAAAGAGUAUCAAAAUGGGGCCAACAUAAAGACCCAUUGAGGUUAGCAGAUGGCAUGGCAUUUUUCUCCUUAAGUUUUCCAUGAUUAGACUUGAAGUCAAAAUUUCACAUGUAAAUUUGUAUUUCUACAUUUCCCACUGACGACACCCAACUUCAACUUGAGUUAGAAUAACAUUGUGUGAACUUAUCUGGCCCUCAAAAUUUACUGUGAAGUGCUUUCUGCGUGUGAAGAUUCAGAAAAGCACCAAGGGAACAUGUAUGGUCUGCCUUUUUCUGAUGUUAUGUUUGUCUCUAAUUCUGUUCCAUGUCAUGGUAAAUGUUCACAUUGCUUGUAUGGAACACACCAGGAUCACUUUUUCGGGUUUAUUUUGAGGCUUCAUAUUGGGUUCAUAUUGGGUUCAAUGCUUUUAAUGUGUUCAUUAGACAAAUCUGAAUUAUCAUAUGCAUUUAGAUAAGAACAAUAAUGUGAAACCCUAGUUACACCUCCCCUGCAUAACCCCAACCCUGCUUACUCUAUUUCAGUUUACUCACACAAGUUUUACCGGUUCUUAUAAGUCAAGAAAAGGCAACUGAUGUUGGAUUGACUCUCUUCCAUGUAUAAAAAGCAACUUUUAUAUAUACAUAAAAUAACUUCUUCCCCUCACCAAUGUGGGAUAUCAUGGAUUUAUUCUGGAAACACAUCAAAGGAACAUCUUUUCUCUUGGGUGACCCUAAGUGGUGAGUCAGACCAUUUGCAUGCCAUUGAGUUGCACAGUUGGAUAAAUGCACCUACCUCCUGGGCUCCAGAGUUAAAAGGGUGGAUCCCUGGAUCGCAACCCUCUUGGCAUCUUGGUUUCCAUUCCAACAUCCACAUGACUUGACAAAACAAAAAACAGAAUAAAAUCAUCACUAUUUUCAUGCUAAGCACCAAUACAUGAUGGAAAUCAUUGCUUAAAGAUUUGGGGUCAUUUAGGUUUUGACUGCCUCCUAACACCUCACCUAAUCACAAGUUUUUAUGCUUACAAAUCAAAUAUCGUUCUUCAUUAUAUUAAAAUCAUUUUAAGAUUUCAGAUCCAUCUGCUAAUUAUGAUUAUGAUAACAUUAAUUCACCUGUGCUUCUCAUUUUCGACACACAAGGCAUCUAGGUUUGCAGGAUUUCCUUAUUAGAUGAGAUAAAUGAGUACGCAUGGUUAUGUAUGCAGCAUUCAUUAACCAUGGUAUGUGACAUUUAGAAUUAAGAUAGCAAGCAAACUUUCCCUGCAGCUUGAGUAAAUUGUGAUUUCUUAGCCUCUAUGAGUGGUUCCCAAAUCAAAUUAACAUAGUGAAAUAUACGUAGUCCAGUGAAAGGAAAUGUAAAUUAUAAACUAACAGCACUACACUACUGGUAACACUCGAUACUCUCUAUAUAAUGCAAUGAAAUAUACGUUAUACGUUGCUUGUUCCAAGUCAAAAUUUGUGGCCAAACGUUGGCCUUUUUUCAUUUUCCCUAAGAUUAAUGCUCACCUGGGAUAGGCACUACAUGAUUUAUCUGCUCUUUUACUGUAAAGUUGCUUUGUGUAUGAGUUACACCUCCCCUGCACACCCUCAACAUUUGUUGCUCUGUUUUCCUUGUGUCCAGACGAGGAUAUUAAGUGGGGGCUGACAAAACGACUGCUAGCCAAGGAUUUACAAGGUCCUGGUUUGACGCUUCCGCGAAAGUAUUUUUGAAAAUAUACACAUAGAGAUUGCGCGUUCGGUGCAAUGCAACAAUGUGAGCCAUUCUGAAGUUUUUAAUUUCAGAUUAAUGAAUGCUACAAAAUUCUAAGAAGGGCCGUUUCCAAAUAUUUGAGUUCAUUUAUCCGAACAUCGGAUAAGUAAUGAUCAUAGAUUAUUAUUAUUAUCUGACGUUCUUAUAAUGGUUGGCAUUAUAAGAGGGUAUAUGCUUCUUUCUCUAGCCCCUCCUUCAAGGGAGGGACAAUGUGAUCUGUAUCGUUAGAAGCUAUUCCAUGUCGUCAUCUUUUGGCUUAAGUCAAUACUAAAAUAUAUGGGCGGGGCCCCUGUCAUUUUAUAUUUCUUCUAGAAGGUUUGUUCUGGAAAUCUUUCACCGAAACAUAUCUUUUUCUUCUCUACGUGAUCCGUGGUUGGAAAGUUAGAAAAAUGGGUCCGUUCACAAGCCACCGAGUUGAAAAGUUGGAAAAAUGGCAACACCGCCAACCUCUUGUAUUCGAUAGUUAAAUAAAAGGUCACUGGAAGUGAGAUCCCUUUUGGCCUCUUGAUUUUCAUCCCAGCAUCUCUAUGUCCUGAUAAACUAAAAAACUAAAAAAAAAACAGUACGUGGGUUGGUGUUAAGCAUCAAGAGUCAAGACAUGAUAAUGGAGAGAAAGGAUAUUCAAAUUCCAGUUCUGACAACAUGAUUUUCUUUCCUGAACAACCAUGUUAUAUUUGAUCAAGAAAGAGUAGUGCAUGUGGCCAGGAUCAAGACAUACAUUAAUUUCCACAUGAUGAAGACAGUUUCUGAGAGUUUCUUCUAAAGCUCUUGCGCUAGUAGGCUUCAAGUCAAAAUUUCCCAUGUAAACACUGGAUUUUCUUUAAUUGCCACUAAGGAUACAGUUAAAAUUGACUUAAAAUCCUACGUGAUAUAUAUCUUUAACAAAAGUAUAUUGUAUAUAAUAUUUGAAAUAAUGUUGAUUCGUUGUGGAAAUAUGUUUGUAAGGAAAGUUGUUGACAAUUUAAUAUAGUAUAAGAAGAAAAAAGUUAUCAACUAGAGAUGAGUAUGUAAAGUGAGGCUCACGAUUCAACGCGUAAAUAUAAGAUAUUUUAAGGCUCAAUAGUUAUGAUAUCUAUUUUAUUUUUUGUAUCCCAUAUAUUCAAAGAUACAGUAAAAUGAUUUUAUAUAUAUGAACAUAGCCGAUAGUAUCAUGUUAAAACCUUAUAUGACUCUUUGUGCCAAUUGAUUUUUAUCUUUAUUUUGUGUAUUAGUAAUUAGUAUUAAAGUUUUUACUAACAUAAUAAUUGAUAUAAAAGCUUUUUCCAAAAGAGUCAAACAGAGCAAAACACUUAUUAUAAAAAGAAUUUUGAUUGAAGGUGGAGUCAAUUAUUCUUUAUUCAACAUGUGAUGCAUACAGCGGGUACUUCAUAACUAAAGUAUAUAAGUGCAACAUCUCUUAUACAUUCUCAUUCAAUCUCGAAAGUGGAAAAUUUUAAAAGAUUAAAUGGUUCAAAUUUUCCGUGCAUAAAGGGGAUCAUGUCACAUAACCAAACCAUGGCAUACCAAAGCCAUGAUAUGGACUAAGAAUUUUGUUAAAAUAAGUUUCUUAUUAGGGCACAUUAUGUGACUAUUUAUGACAUAUCAAAGGAGUCAAGUGCAUCAAUAAAGACAUAGAAAAUUCAUGCAUCACAUGUACCACUAAGAGAAAAUUGACUUGAUAGAGUUUAGUCCAAAUAGGAGAUUGUUAAAAGGUGCAUCAAAUUCUUGAUUGAUAUAUAUUUUUUUUAUUAGAAAGGUUAUUAUAUAGAUAUUUCAAUAGACUAUUAAUCCUUUGUAAAAAUAGUUAUAUAAUGAGGAUGGUGAUUAAAAAUAUCUCUAUCAAUAUUUUGGAUUAUAAAAAGAAAAAAAAUAUGAGAAAAUGAUAAACAUAUAAAACUUGUACAAGUAGAUAGAGAUGUGAUGAAAGACACUUGAUGAAUGGAGGCCUUGUAUUUCAAGAUGUAAAUAUAUGGAGCAAAACUCUUAAUUAUAUGAUCAAAUGAUUCUCUCAUAUUCAUGAACAUAAGCAGGAUUGGGGAACCAUGAUAGAAUCUUAUAUGCCUCUCCAUGUAGAUUGAUCGAUGUUUAUCUUCAUAUUUUACACCAAUGAAUGACAUUGAAACUCUGAUUGAUAAAAGGGAAAAAGCAUGGCCUCCACCACAAGAAAAACAAGUAACCUCGGUCUAAAUCACUAGUCUACACCCCGAAGAGAGAACUAGCCAAACCUACUAAAAGAGAAACUUACCAAUUUAGAAAGAAAUCUUCCAUGAUAAAGGGCCCCUAAAAGUCCAAUUCAGUCAGGUUGUGAACAAAAACACCUUCAUGUCAAAACAGGAAUAGGUACCACCAAAAUGUAAAGGGAAAGAUGUAAACCAAGUCGAACUUUGGUAAACAAUGGUAAAGAUAGCAUGAUAGCUAAAAGCACUAAAGCUGUGCUUGGUAUGCAAAAAUGAAAAGUGGAAAUCAGCGUCUUAUUCUUUUUCUCCUUUAUUCACAUAUUAGGAUAACUAAUAUCUAAUGUUUUUUUUAUGUCUCAAAUUCUAUUCCAUGUUAUGGUAAACUUUCAUCUUGUUUAAGUGGAAGAGUAGGAUCACUUUUGUCUGGUUUGGGCUCAAGACGAUAAGCCUAUAGAGACUUCAUAUUGGGUUGAAUUGAUGCCCUUGAUCCGAUCAGUUCGUUAGAAAAAUCUGAAUUAUUAUAAGCAUUUAGAUAAAAUAAAUAAAUAAAUGUGAAACAGAGACUAUUCUCUGCACAACCUUGACCCUAGUUACUCAGUUUCACUGCUCACGGGACUAACCUCUCCAUUCAGUCGAAAUGAAUUGUAAUUUCUUUACUGGUAGCAGUAGUACUUUUCAUAGCAAAGAUAAUAGUAAAUAUGAAAUAUAAAUAUAUAGAAGGAAAUCUGGAUUGUAGAUAGCACCAUAAGUAACACUCAAUAUUUACUACAUAAUAAAAGAGAUAGUGUUACAAAGGUAGAGAAACCUACAAUGAGUACUCAUCACCAUUCUCAAACAGAAACAUAGCAGUGACUUAUACAUAGAACCUAUAGGCUCGCAGGGAAAGAGUAACAUGAUAAGUGCACAGCGGGUAGCAGCUCUUAUUUUACGUAUUACUCAAAAUCUCAAACUAACCAAAGUCACUCAGUUGGGAUGGGUAGGAGAUGGUGGUUUGUGGGGUGGCUUCUGGGUAGGAGCUGGUGGCUUCUUUGUUGGAGUUGAAGGAGGCGUAAUCUUCUGAGGUGGCUUGUAUGAGUCUUUGGCACUCUCUGCAGGAGGGUGCCCAGGGUUGUGACCGGAAGGAGGUGGCUUCUGUCCCUUUGGUGGUUUGCCUAAUGGGCUUGGUGGCUUGUGCUCCGGGAGUUGUUUCUCUCCCUCGAGUAGGUUUCGAGUUUUGUCAGAUGGCUUGUGUUCUGGUGGUGGCUUCUCUCCCUGGGGUGGUUUGCCGAAUGGGCUUGGUGGCUUGUGUUCGGGGAGUGGCUUCUCUCCCUUGGCAGGUUCAGUUGGUGGCUGGUGCUCCGUAGGUGGUUUCUUCACCGCCGGCUUCUCUCCCUGGAGAAGGUUACGAGUUUUGUCAGAUGGCUUCUGUUCUGGUGGCGGCUUCUCUCCCUGGGGUGGUUUGCCAAAUGGGCUUGGUGGCUUGUGUUCGGGAACUGGCUUCUCUCCCUUGGCAGGUUCAGUUAGUGGCUGGUGUUCCGUAGGUGGUUUCUUCACCGGCGGCUUGUGCUCCGGAAGCGGCUUCUCUACCUGGAGAAGCUUACGAGUUUUGUCAGAUGGCUUGUGUUGUGGUGGUGGCUUCUCUCCCUGGGGUGGUUUGCCAAAUGGACUUGGUGGCUUGUGUUCGGGGAGUGGCUUCUCUCCAUUGGGAGGUUUAGUUGGUGGUUGGUGUUCCGUAGGUGGUUUCUGAAGUGGGGGAUGCUUGGGGUAGUCAGCAAGAGACGAGGUAGUGAGAACCACCAGUCCCAGCAGCAAUACUAGCAAGGAUGUGGAAGACAUCUUUGAGUUCAGGCUGAGAUUUGUGCAAGGCUAGAAGAAUUAGGUGGCCUUUUAUAGCGGGCUGGACCCAACAACCAAAUGACACGUAUCAUGAUACACAUAUGUGUUAUAAGAUCCUUGUGGGUCCUACAGAAGUUGAAAACUUUGACAAUUGAGGUGUGAUUACAACUUUUGUCCCUAUUGCUUUCUCGUCAGCCGUUUUGCAAGAUUUUUGACAGGAGGACGGUAGUUUAAAAUAAUAAUUUCUAAAGUACUUUUGUGAAAAAAAAUAAUUCCAAACGUGGAUUUUAUCAAGUAAAAAAAACAAAAAAAAGUUAUUUUCUUUUAAAAUCUUUUCUUCAUGAUUCAUAUACCAAAAAAAGAAUUGUUUUCUGUAGGUAAAAUUUUUAAAAUUCAUUUUUAAAAAAAAAAAAUUACACACUAAAAUUAUCUCUUCAAGAAAAUAUUUUUUAAAUUUUAAAUAAUUAUUAAUUUAUAAUUAAUUUUUUAUUAAUUAUUUAUUAAAUUUAUAUGUGAAAAAUGCAUUUAUAAAAAACAAAUUUUUUAUUAAUUUAUUAAAUAAUUAUUUACAAAAUAAAUAAUUUUGCUUUAUUUUAAUUUUAAAAUUAAUUUUAUUAUAUAAAUUUUAAAAUUAAAAAUAUUAAUAUUUAAUUUAAAAUUUAACUAUAAAAGGAAUAAAAUAUAGAAAAAUAAAUUAAUUUAUUAUUCAAUAAAUUAAUUUUCAAUAAAAUUUUCAGCAUUAAGAGAUAAAUUUUUAAGUAUUAAUCAAUUUAAAAAAUAAUAAUAAUCAUUUGUAUACUAAGAUAUUUUAUUUAGUAAUUAUGAAUGAUAAACAACUAAAGUAAUUUGAAAAAAUAAUAAAAUAUUUAAAAAUAAUAAUUUAAUACACUUAAAAUUAGAAAUGAUUAACUAUUUUUUAUUAAGAAAAAAUUGAAGAAAUAUUUUGUUAUUUAAAAUUUUUUAUUUGUUUUCAAUUUUAAAUGUUAUAGGUUUCAAGAAAAUUGAUCAAAUAAAAAUUAAGAAGUCAUUUUUUCAAAAACUAUAUAUCUAAAUAAAAGCCUUGAAAUUCAAAUACACAAUAUCAUAAAUAUAAACACCAAGUCAAUCCUUAAUUAUCAAAUGUUUUUAAUAUUAAAGAAUCAAAAUCACCUACUAUCAUGAUAAUAAGAAAACCAAUAAUAUUGUUCAUAUAAAUACUAAAAAGCUAACAAAUAUCCCAAACAAUUAAUAAAGUAUCAAACAUGAUAAAAAGUCAAUUAUUAUCAUGAAUGCAAAAAAUCAAUAAUUUUGUUUAUAUGAACCAUCAACAAAGAAAAAAAAAAUCAAUAUCUAAAUAUUAAACAUAAUUUAUAUUUUUAUAAAUAUUAUUGUUGAUAAAUAUCUUAAUAAUUAUAAUUUUUUAUAUAUUAAAUUUAGUAAAUAAAAUUAAUUAAUUUUAUAAUAUAAGAUAUAUAUAAUAAUUAAGAGACUAUUUGUCCCAAACAAUUUAUUUAUUUUUUUUUUAGGAAAUUGUCUCUUCAAGAGACGACUUCUCCCAACAUUUUUAAAAAAAAAAAAAAAAACAUCUAUUCAAAAGACGAUUUCUCCUCAUUUUUUAAAAAUGAAUUUUAGAAAUCAUAUUUUCAAAAAUGAAUUUUAGAAAUCAUAUUUUCAAAAGACGAUUUUUUUUUAUAUAAAUUAUUUUUUAAAAUGACGAUUUUAAAAGGAAAUAACGAUCUCUCUCCUACUUGGCAAAAACUAUGGUAAAUUUGGAAUUAUUUCUUCCACAACCAUAGUUUAAGAAUUAUUUUUUUAUACUUUCGUAGACUUAUCAAAAAUCCCUAUUUUGCAUGUCUCAUUUGGCAUGACUUUCUUACCUAAACAAGCAUAUAUAUAUAUAUAUAUAUAUAUAUCACUUUUGUCUGGGUUGAGUCAAUGCCCUUAACUAAUUUGUUCAUUUGAAUAGUCUAAAUUAUUAUAAGCUUUUAGUUAAGAAAAAUGUGAAACAUAAAUUACACCUCUCGGCACAACUUCGACACUGGUUACUCUGUUUCAGUUUAUUCACACAAGAUUAUUGGUUCUAGGGUUUAUUUGGUUUUGGUUUGAUUCUAAUUGCUAAACUUUCUCAAGGAAGAUGUUAUAUAGGGAGUGAGAAACCUUCACUCCUGGCUACCUCCAAGAGAAGAGCAAGUGGUCUGAAUCAAAGAUAUACUGCUCACUUUUUCUUCUUCUAAGGACAGCUAUGACCUUGCUUUAAAAUGUUCGAAUAGCCUAAUGCAACCUCCCAUUUCUCAAGUCAGCUGAUGAUGUAAGUCACCUUGGCUUUCCACAUUCAUACGGUGAGGACGUUUGUGGGUGUAAUUCUCUUAACAGUUUUCAUUUUAUAUGGAAAAAUUCAUAAUUAAGGGUAAUUACUGAUUCCAUUUGACAGUGACCAAGUUUAAAAUAUUAACUCAUGUAUUAAAUGCACAUUAAAAAAUCAUGGAAUAAAUAUAUUUACUAAUAUAUAGUUCUUUUGUCAUGUUCUGUCACAGAAGCAUCGAACUUUCCCUAGAAAUUUUUGCAUGGUAUUCUGCUUAUGAUUUUGAAAACUCUAGGCACCUAAGGCCACUGAUUGCAUGGUUGGAUGAGGAGCUGCAUGAGAUUAUGUAUCCUGUUGCUCCUUAACUACAAAUAUCAGUUUUAAGUAGCAUCUCCAUGUGACAUUUUCCUGAUGCAAUUUCGCUGUCCACCAACAAAUGUCUCCAUGCAGCUAGAUGAAUUGUAAUUUCUUUGUUGUUAUCAACAGCUUUAAUUAAUCUUGAUAUAUAUAUAACUUAGUAGAAGUAAUUAAUCUAGAUUGUAGUUGCACUAAGAUAAUAGGCAAUAUUAUAACAGUGCCACAAUGCUCAUCGCCAAAUAGAAAGGUAGAAAAACUACAAUGAGUAACUCACACAACAUUCUCAAACAGGACAUAGCGGCGACUGAUACAUAGAACACUAUUGGCACUCAGGAAAUGAUAAGAUCAGUGCCCAGCAGGCAGCACGUCUUAUUUUACAUACUACUUAAAACUAACCAAAGUCAUUCAGUUGGGAUGGGUGGGAGAUGGUGGUUUGUGCGGUGGCUUCUUUCCUGGAACUGGUGGUUUUUUUGUUGGAGUUGAAGGAGGCUUAAUCGUCUGAGGUGGCUUGUAUGAGUCUUCAGCACUCUCUGCAAGAGGGUGCCCAGGGUUGUGACCAUAAUGAGGUGGCUUCUCUCCCUUAGGUGGUUUGCCAAGUGGGCUGGCUGGCUUGUGCUCCGGGAGCGGCUUCUCUCCCUUAGGUGGUUUGCCAAAUGGGCUUGCUGGCUUGUGCUCUGGGAGCGGCUUCUCUCCCCCAAGAAGUUUGCGGGUUUUGUCAGAUGGCUUGUGUUCUGGUGGUGGCUUCUCUCCUUGGGGUGGUUUGCCAAAUGGACUUGGUGGCUUGUGUUCGGGGAGUGGCUCCUCUCCCUUGGGAGGUUUAGUUGGUGGCUGGUGUUCCGUAGGUGGUUUCUCAACCGGGGGCUGGUGCUCCGUAGGUGGUUUAUGAACUGGGGGAUGCUUGGGGUAGUCAGCAAGAGACGGGGUGGUGAGAACCACCAGUCCCAGCAGCAACACUAGCAAGUAUGUGGAUGACAUCUUUGAGUUCAGGCUGAGAUUUGUGCAAGACUAGAAGAAUUAGGUGGCCUUUUAUAGCUGGCUGCACCCAACACUCACAUGACACGUAUCACGGUGACACAUGUGCUAUGGGAUCCAUUUGGGUCCUACAGAAGUUGAAAACUUUUGACUAUUGAGGUGUGAUCACAACUUUUGUCCCUAUUGCUUUCUCCGCAACCGUUUUACAUGUUUCCUUUGUGGUGUUUAAUAGUGUUUUUUUCCUUAAUUCUAAAUAAACCUUAAUACUUAAUAAUGUUAAAUAUUAGGUUAUUUAUUUUUAUAAUAUUUUAUUUAUAUUAAGUAUUAAAAAGUAAAGAAAAAUCAAUAUAUUUAUUUUUCUAUUUAGAAAAAACUAUAUAUUUUUAAUUUUUUUAUUUAAUAAAAAAUUUAUAAUAAAUCAUGAAAAAAUAGAAAAACAAACAACCUAAAUUUUAAAAAUAAAUUGUUUUUAGUAAAAACCCAAAAAAACAAACACCACCUUAACUAAACAAAUAUAUAUUAUAUUUAGUUAAGAAAGAGUAAAGUGUAUAUGGCUCAAAUCAAGGAAGAGAAACAGAAUAAGUGGAAGACAAUCAAUUGUGAUAAACAGAUAUAUUACAUGCAUGUAGUACUAGUGACUUUAUCAUUUACUUUUAUACAAUAGAUCAUCACACUCUUUCUUCUAAAUAUUUUGGAGGAUAAUGGUACAUGUUGCUUGUUGCCAAGUCAAAAUUGGUGGCAAAAAUCGGCAUGAUACGAAAGGAUUGGUGAAAAGAUUCACAUAGAUGGUGCUUUGUGCAAUGCAGUCUUGCUCUAAUUCAACAGAGUGGACCAUGGUGAUGUAUUUUAAAUUUUAAAUUUUAAAUUAAUGCAUGCUUCAAAGUUUUAACUAGAUGUCACUUCCAUGGAUUUUUGUUCAUUUAAUUGAGAACAGGAUAGGCUAUCAAACUUGAAGUAAUAUAAAAAUCCCUUCAUUACUGUAACUAAUGAAAGAUCAUUAUCUGCGCUUGGUAUUUUGCCAAGGUAUUUGCUGCUCUUUCUAGCCCUAUCUUACAGUUAAGGACAAUGUGAUCUAGUUAACCUUAGAAGCUAUUCCAUGUCAUAUACAAGAGAUCAAGCACAUUAUCUUUGGGCUCAGUUCAAAACUAUAAUAUAUGGGUGGGGUGGGGGCCUAUACCAUUUGCAUAUCACCACUAUUGGUUUAGUUUGGAAGGUUUCUUCUGGAAGAUUGCUUUCUGGAAACAUUUCAAAGAAAUAUAUCUUUUUGUUCUCUUGGUGACGAGCAGCGGCAAUCAAGUCUGUUGACAAACAACCGAGUUGAAAAGUUUGAAAAUUGGUCACAGCCCACGUCCAUGGUUAAGGAAAAGGUCACUGGAAGUGAUCCCUUCUGGGCCUGUUGGAAGCAGGGGAGGUUAACACACCAAGCAACAAAGAACAGAGAUAUGCUGCUACUGAUCUAUAUUUUUUAUUUGAUCAUAAGGCUAAAUUUAUACAGAUUGUGUAACAGAUAUGACCUCAAAAAAAAGCAUCAAAUCAAGCUACUUGUUGAACAAACAACUACCUUCUACAAAAUAACAUCAAAAUUUAACUUAAAAGCAAAAACAUAAAAAUAGCAACAGCAAAAAUAGAAACAUAAAAAUAGCUUCAGCAUUCUAGUAAUCUCGUUGACUUCAAUUGCAUGUGGUUGACGAUUUCAGCCUUUUCCUCAGCAGCUACUAAGGCAUAACUCUCAACACUCCUCCUUGACUUAGGAGGUGCAAACUCCAAGUCUUUCUCAUAGAAACUCAAAUCUUAUUUUAGGAAGAGCUUUAGUCAGAAUAUCUACAUUUUGACUGUCUGUAUUGCAGUAGACUAGUUGUAUAUCUCCUUCUUUCUGUACUUCCCUCAAAAAUUACAAUUUAAUCUUGAAGUGCUUUGUUUUACCAUGAAAAACUGGAUCAUUUGCAAUAGAUAUAGUGGCCUGGUUGUCUACAAACACCUUUGUACUCACUUCUUGCUUCAUAUCCAAAUCUGUCAGCAACUUUCCAAGCCAUAAGGCUUGAUUUACAGCUGUAACAGCAGCAAUAUACUCUGCCUCAGCUGUGGAUUG
RNAcentral lists this long non-coding RNA (61922 nucleotides) under Vitis vinifera (wine grape). RNAcentral describes it as "long non-coding RNA (VVIN_LNC001392)". Lineage: Eukaryota; Viridiplantae; Streptophyta; Magnoliopsida; Vitales; Vitaceae. The record is from RNAcentral.